GGUGAUGCUGUCAGUGAAUACUGCAAAGUUGGGUGUGUAUCCUCUGUGUGCGGUGCUUUAACCACUCUCCAAAACUCUGGUAAAGCUAACUCUCAAAACUCCUUAUCAUUACUAUCAUUUGUUUUAAAAAUAAUAAACAAGAGAACAUAUAUAUGAUACGUUUCAAAUUUUGUUUCGAUAACUAGAUGCAAGUGAAAUCGUGAAUGAAACUGCUGGAAACUGUGCCUUGGCUUGUUCUAAAGUCUGCAACAAGGGUUCGAUGAAUGCAGUUGAAACUGCCUAGACAGCCAUAUCUAUGAAGAUACCACGUACUGCAUAUUUGGAGGUGAAAGGGGUUGACAUCUUUCACGGUGUUGCUUUUGUUGUUUUCAAUAAUUGUCGUAUAUGUGACAAAAAUAUAGAAAGGUUAACAAUCUUUAGAUUGUAUAUGCCUUCUAUUCUCUAUCUUUUUAAACUAAUGGUAUUUGUGUCUUGAUAUUUUCUGCUCAACGACUAUUUUCACUCGCUUUUGCCAUAGUUAAAUUAUACGAAAUAUUACCUAUCACUUUAACUAAAUUAUUUUAUUAAUUUUCACAAGAAAAUUGAAAUCAGUAUGAACAUAUAUAAACAAACAUAGAUUAUGACAAACACUAUGAUCUUUAUUUUUUCCUACAUUUUAUAACUUAGUUUCCAAACAUAUAAAUAUCGUAAAAUAUGCGGAUGCUUAGUAUCGACUACAAAAAAUAAAAUAUAAAUGUAUAACACCAGAAUAUUUGAAGAGUAGAGUAGAUUAAUAUUAAUUUAAUAUCAAAUAACAGUAUCCAAAAUAAAGAAAAUAAAUCCACAUGCAAGAUUAAAUAUCAAAUGGUACUGACUUGGUUUUUCGAUUUUCAUUGUCUUUUAAUCCCUCAUAAUCGCAUUUGAACAUUUAGCUGGAACCCAAGCAUAUUCAACACUAACCACUCGAAAUGUUACCUUUCUUAUUAACUGCUACAAUCCUAGGUGAGAAAGCUUUACUCAACUCAACUUCCUCCAAAAACAAAUAAAACACAAUGUAUAAUAAGAAAAGUGAUUUUUUUUUUAUAUAUAAAAUUAUUAAGAUUUAUGGUUAGUUUGUAUAUAUUCUCUAAAGUUAAAUGGAUUAAUAUUGGUAUUAUUUUUUUAAGAACAGCUAAACAAUUGGACUAUAGUACUAUACACGAAUUAUUUCAAGUAAAUUUUUUUUUUUUUUUACAAAAUAAAACAUUUCCUUUGCUCUUAUUAAUAAUAAAAAAAACAGUGAUAAGAUAAAACCCUCUCUACUCGGUGUUUUUAUGCUUCAUCAGAUACGCAAUCAGUAGUAUCUAAUCAUUUGUGUACCGUUCUUUCAUUUUUUGAGUAUACCCUUUGCCAUAGCUGACAAGAGAAGAACAAAUGAUCUCGAGUUGCCAUGCUAUUUCGACAAGAAACACAGGUCCCCAAAAACCGUAAACGAGCACAUAAGAGUAUUUUUGUGUUGAGUGAACGAACACCAAACUCCCUAGCUUGUGUCAAGCUACAAUGUUUGAAGUUGUUCGGUUAUGGUUCCAAGUAUCCAUUGUUGAAUACUUCGGUUUGAAACUAUCUUCCUUACCACAAUGUUAGCCUUUUCACAAUGCUUUUGCUACAUGUGAAUACAAAGCACAAAGCAUCUUCCAUCGUAUUAAGAAGACCUAUGCGGUGCUGUCUCCUUCCACGAUUUUCACAGCUUACAAUAGGAAACAUAAAAAACAGUAGUGUAUUAUAAUCAUUUUUGUUUUAAUCUUUUAUAGCAGUUACGAAAACUAAACUAUCUUUGUAUGCUAUCAAUGUAGAUAUUUUUUGUAGUCAAACGAACGAAGGCAUUAGUAUUCGAUAUGUAGACUAGAAAAAUCAUUUAACGUAAACUGAAAAGACUAUAUCAAAAAUUGUCAAGUGGUUAGUUUAAAGCUUAUGUAGUUAGUACUUUCAUCAUCUAAAUGAUCUCAUGUCAUGUUAUUAAUCUUAUAUAAUAAGACAAGGUUUCUUCUAACUUUGCCUUACAAAGCGACAUUUGGCGCUCUAUAUUCUUGACAUGUGUCAUUUUCAUUAAUGUCUAAUUUAACAUCUAAAAAAUAUUUUAUUUGUGAUAUUGUGUUGUAAGUUAUAAGAUAUGUAUUGUUUGCUUUUAAAAAAGUGUCAUUGUUGCAAAAAAUUAUUUUCCCUAAUUUUAGUUUCUAUUUAAAUUAAAUAUCAUAUAAACUUAACAUAAAAUGGAGUAGUUAAAUUUUUUUUGGUAUGAUUUUUUUUCCUUAAGAUUUAAAGUUCAAAAAUCACAACAAAAUUUCCUCCUCCUUUUAAAGUAUUUUUUCCUAAAGUUAUUAAUAUGGGUAAUAGAUUAUUUAUAACAUAUUUUUUUAUAAUUUUUGGGAAAUAAGUUUAUAAUAAAAUAAUUAAAGAGAAUUGUUUUUUCUUUACUUUAGCAUGGUGAAAUCUAUGUCUUUUGGAAAUAAAUUUGAUUGAAGUAAUUUAGUAAUUGUCUUCAUUUUUAUGCACUAUCUCAUAUAAUAUUUAUUUGAUGUUUCCAAAUUUUAAUAUAAAGCUAAGUGUAUAGGUUUUAUGAUUAUUUUGUAUUAUGCAGAUUGCUAUCUACUGCAUAAAUUAAUUAAAAUACAUUAUAAAUGAUAUUUUUUUUUACAAAAAAAAAAAAGUUAAAUAUUUUUUUAAUUUGUAUUCAAAAAAUUCCAUCAUCAAUUAAAAUAAGCAUUAGAAUAAUUUUUUGGAAUCAAGUACUUUUUGUUUCUUUUUAAACAGUUAGACCUCAAAUUUUAAAUAAAUUAAAUAUUAUAAUAAUCUAUUGGAUCACAAACUAAAUAUAAUUAUACAUAUAUUGAAAUGAAUUACAAAAUAUUAUUUGAGAUUUUUUGAAAAAUAGAAGAAGUUAUUUGUUAAAGGUUUAAAUUGCAAUUUUUAUUUAUAUAACAAUCAAAACUUUAUUUUACAUAUGCAUGUGUUAUAUCAUAUUUUCUUCAUUCAUACUCAUAAGUAUGAAAACGUAUGUAUAAUAAGGCAUUAGAAAUAAAAAUUGAAAAAAGUAUGUAUAAUCAGGCAUUAGAAAUAAAAAUUGAAACUAUGUUUGAUAUAUAUCAUACUUUCUAAAAUAAAUUAAGAUCAAAUUCUUAAAAUGAUACUUUUAUUGAUUUUCAAUCCAUAUGACAACACAAAAAUAGAAAAAUAAAUUAGUACAUCUAAAAUAUUCAGAUAAAGUAACUAUUUAACCAAAAAAUAUUAUAUUAUUUAAUUUACUAUAAUUUAAUUUAGAAAACAAAAUUUAUUUUAUUUACUAUUAUUAAACAGUUGGGAGAGGAAACACAGUCUAAUAGAAUAUAAUAUCAUAAAAUUUAAUCAAAAAAAUAAUUAUCAUAUUAUUCACAAAUCAUAUAUAUACAUAUUAUGUAUUAUCACAUAUAUAUUAUAUAUAUUUAAUUCACAAUUUAAUAAAAAAACUGAAAAAACAAUUAAACCACAAAACACAUUUAGUCAUAUAAAUUAAACUCACACUUUAAUAUAAAAACUGAAAUAAUAUAAAUUUGCAUUAACUAUAUUUUACAUUGAAUUUUUCAGCACACAGUAAAUUAUAACUGAUUCCCAUAAUUGUUUUAUGAAAUUGUAACUCCCAUCACUUCUCUUCCUAUAUUUAUACUCAUUUUCUCAGUUAUCAUUCCCUCAUUCUCUCAUCCUCUAAUUCUCUCUCUCAAUUAUUAUAUAAAAAAGAGCUUGGUGUUUUUUUUUGUAUGAGUUUUAGAAAACAAUUAAAUAUUCUUUUAUAAAAGCUCAACUGUAAAAAAAUUAGAGACUACAUGAUAUACAUCUUAUGUUAUUAUAAUUUUUGUUUUUUCAAAAUUCAUCUCUAUUUUAUAUUUUAGAUUAUCAUCAUAUAAGUAAUCAUUCCCUCACCCUAUUCAAUUAUAUUCAUGUAUCUUUAAUAUUUUUCUAUUUUUAUGUUGUUUUAUGGCAUAAAAAUCAAUGAAAUGAUCAUUUAAGAAUUUCAUAUAAAUAGUUUUAGAAAGUAUGAUUCAAAUCUAACAUAUUUUUAAAUUUAAUCAUACUUAUAAAUUAAGAAAGUAUGAAACAGAUGUGUAAAAUAAAAUAUUUUGAAGGCUAUAAAAAUAUAAAUUUUGAUUUAAAAAUAUUAGUUCCAAACAUCCUAACAAGAGAAUUAAGUUAAAAAGAUCCAUUUUGUUAUAUAUUUUUGAUGUUUGCAUAGUUUCUUACAUAUAUAUUAUUAUAUGCAUUUUUCUUUUUUAACUAUGAAAUUUCUAAUUAAAUAUUUAAUCGUAACACAUUUUCCAAAUAAUAUUUUCUUACCUCUUUUGUAUUAAAAUAAUUCUUUGUAAUUUAUUUUAAUAUUAUGUAUCAUUAUAAUUAAUUUUUGUGAUCUAAUAAAUUAUUAUAUAAAUAUCGUUAAAAUGUUAAUGAGGGCUAAGUAUUUUUUGAAAACGAAAAAACGUGGUUAAAAACAUUUGGUCUUUCAGUUUUUUUUAAAACAAAAUAUUUUAACUCCUAACGGCUAACUAACCAUAACUUUGAAAUCUUCUUAUACGAUCAUAGUACAAUAGAUGAACUUUACAUUGACCACUAUUUUUGUAUCCAAACAUACAAAGAAAUCAACACUUUGAGAACUUACCUGGUACCAACCUAAUAUAUCUUCUUUCAAAUUUUAAUAUAUUCCAUUUCUUCUCUAAAAUUUUAUUUUUUUAUUAUUUCAUUAUUUUCCUAGAAUUUAUUUAUGUAUAAAUUCCCAUGAUGUUAUUGUUACAUUAUUUAUUUUUUCAUUGAAAAUAGAAUAUAUUAUUUUUUUCUCGGGAAUCGUGGUAGAGAGCAAAACGGCUAUGGUAAAUUGUAUGUGACUUUUCAAUUUAAUUAACAUAACCUAUUUUUAAGAAUGCAUAUGGUUUACUUUUUUAUUGUAUAUGUAAUUAAUAUUAGACUACUUUGAUGCUCUGGAUUAAUAUAAAGUUGUUGACAAAAAAAAAAUUGAAAUAUUAAUGUGUCAUUAUAUAAUACUAUCCUAUAUGAAAUAUUAGAAGAUAUGAUUUUUUGAGAGACCGAAGGAAAAAGUAAUAUGACAUCGAGAAAAACCUAAAGUAGAUUUGUAUAGAUUACAAGUUCAAAUAGUUGUUUGUAGUGAUCUAAGACUAUAAAUCUUACUCUUAGUAUCUUACUGUAGUUGAAUAAAAAAAUUAUUCUAAUGCUUAUUUUAAUUGAUGAUGGAAUUUGUUGAAUACAAAUUAAAAAAUUAUUUCACUUUUUGUUUUUUUUUGUAAAAAAAAAUAUCAUUUAUAAUGUAUUUUAAAUCAUUUAUGCAGUAGAUAGUAAUCUGCAUAAUACAAAAUAAUCAUGAAACAUAUACACUUAGUUUUAUAUUAAAAUUUGGAAAUAUCAAAUAAAUAUUUGAUUAUUUCUAUGAAAUAGUGCAUAAAAAUGAAGAUAAUUACUUAAUUGCUUCAAUCAAAUUGAUUUCCAAAAAAUAUACUAAAAUUUUUAUAAAUAUAAUAUCAAAUUUAUCUCGCGCAUCGCGCGGGUCUACUUCUAGUAUAAUCAUAUGCUGAAACACAUAUAGAGUAUUUCAUUUCUGACGCAUGAAUAAACUUCUUGUUAUAUCCACAGAAAAUACAAAAAUAAGGCAACAGGCAUUUAUUUGGUCCCAAUGUAAUAUUCAAAAAAAAAAAAAUAUAUAUUUGGUUAAAACAAAAAGAAACACAAAACACGUUCUAACAAACUUUUUGGAUGUUUUUGUCUCAUAUUUUUAUUUGCCAUCAUUUAGACAUAACUAGAAACUAGCUCCAACAACCACAAACUAGUUCUUGUUAUCUUUCCAUCUUCAAACUACUCAUACUGAUCUUCUUAAUUCUCUAUUCCAAAUAAAUAACGAGAGAAGUGAUACAAAAUUUAUAGACAUUAUACUCAUAAUAUGAACUCGCAUAUAAACCAAAUUAUAAGAAUAUACAUAAUAAUUACCAGCAUUAUCAAUACGAAAUAGUGAAUAUUAAGUAUCCUAAAUUCAAAUAUUAAGUUAACCAAAAAGAAAAAGAAGAAGAUCCUUUAAAAUUUAUCCUUAUUCAUGUAUCAGAUUGCCAUUAAGAUAAGGUUGGUCCACGCAGCUUGACAGAGUCUAUAUAGAGAGCAUGUGAUAAACAUAUCAUAUGAAGUUUGUGGUUGCCAAUCGCAGAGCAGCUAGUAUUUAAGGGAGCCUUGUUUCAUCACCAAUUCAUCAAUUCAAGCUUAUAACUCUCUACAUAUACAUUUUGCAAUCAAACAACUUAUCAAUCCAAAGAUGGAAGGCAAAACUUUGAUUCUUAGUGUGCUCCUAGUGAGUCUUGUCAUGGCGCAGAUUCAAGUCGAAGCAAAGAGCUGCUGUCCUAACACCACUGGUAGAAACUGUUACAAUGUAUGCCGUCUUACUGGAGCUCCCAGGCCAAUUUGUGCAAAUGGCUGUGGAUGCAAAAUCGUCAAUAGUGGUAGCUGCCCUAACGGAUAUACCCAUGAUGUUCUCGAAAACACAGGUAAAUUAAUUAAUAUAAUGCUUUUAUUAAGUAUGUUAUUUGUUACAAGGAAAAUCAAGAUUUCAUUCUUUCUUUCUUGUUUUAAUUUUUGUCUCAAGGGAAUGCUGUCAGUGAAUACUGCAAAGUUGGGUGUGUAUCCUCUGUGUGCGGUGCUUUAACCACUCUCCAAAACUCUGGUAAAGCAAAUUUUUCAAAACUCCUUAUCAUUACUAUAAUUUGUUUUAAAAAUAAUAAACAAGAGAACAUAUAUAUGAUACGUUUCAAAUUUUGUUUCAAUAACUAGAUGCAAGUGAAAUCGUGAAUCAAGCUGCUGGAAACUGUGCCUUGGCAUGUUCUUCAGUUUGCACUAAGGGUUCGAUGAACGCAGUGGAAACUGCCUAAACAACCAUAUCCAUGAAGAUACCACGUACUGUAUAUGUGGAGGUGAAAGGGGUUGGCAUCUUUCACAGUGUUGCUUUUGUAGUUUUCAAUAAUUGUCAGUGUAUGUGACAAAAAUAUAGAAGAUUAUCAAUCCCUAGAUUGUAUAUGUCUUCUAUUCCCUAUCCUUUUAAAUAAAUAGUAUUUGUGUCUUAAUCUUUUUCGCUCAUCCAUCACUUAACUUAAUUAUUUUAUUCAUUUUCAUAAGAAAAUUGAAAUAUGUAUGACAAACGCUAUAAUCUUUAUUUAUUCCCUACAUUUUUUUUUGUCAAUAUUGGACCACAAUUGGCCGACCCAUAAACCUAAUCCCCACGAAUAUAUAGGAAAAGAGACUCGAUCCUUAGUGUGAUGGUGUUUAUCCAUUAGUGGACUUAUCAUUUGCUAUCAGACUAAAGUCACUUCACUUAUUCCCUAUAUAUUUUAAUUAAAACUUAGUUUCCAAACAUAUACAUAUCGUAAAAUACGCGGAUGCUAAUUAGUAUCGACUACAAAACUAAAACAUAAAUUUAUAACACCAGGAUAUUUGAACAAUAGAGUAGAUUAAUAUUUAAUUUUAUAUCAAAUAACAGUAUCUAAAAUAAAGAAAAUAAAUCCACACGUAAGACUAAAUAUCAAAUGGCACUGUGUUGGUUUUCGAAGCCAUAUCGCAUUUGACAUAAUAUUUUCAUUUGUUUCAUAUACACAAUGAACAAAUUCUCAUAUGUCAAAAUAAUUGAAUGGAGAGUUAUAUUCUUUUUCUGUUUAAAUAAUUUCACCUAUCAUAAUUUCUUAUAUGGUUUCAAAUGUUUUCACACACACUCACAUUUCUUUGCUAAUCACACUUUUUCUCUUCACUUAUGUUAUGUCUAAUCACACUCAUGCUCAUGUUUCACAUUUAUAGAUUCGACAAGAAUCAUAAAUUCGUCCAUGUCAAUGGAUAUAACAAGUCAUUAUGUCAAUGAAAAUUAUAAUUAUUUAAGCACAAAAGCGACUUUAAAAUUCUUUAAAUAUCAAAGUGAAAACAAUAAUUUACAAUUUUGAAAAUUAUAAAUUCCAAAUAUAUAAUUGAUUUUUAAUAAAAGUAAAUUUUUGAUUUUGGAUUAUUUGUGAGUUUUUAAAAUACAAGAUAAAAUAUAUGAUUAUAAAAUAUAUGAUUAUAUAAGUAUAUAUAUAUAUAUAUAUAUCUGUUUAUUUAUCUGAUAUAAAUCAUUAAAAUAUAUAACCAAAUUUGCUUGUAGAAAAGAGCUUUUGAAAUCCAAUAAUUUAGCGCGGUAUGAUACGGUUUUAUCCUUAACCUCACCCAAAAGAACAGUUGCAAAGAACUUGGAUACCGAUAUGUAUUGAGCUUUUUCUUUUCCCGUCAAGCUUAAUUUAUUUCUCAUGGUCAUAUAAAGCAAUGCAUACGUUACAUGCACAUAUUAAUGUAUCUUUGAUAAUAGUUUAUUACAAAGCUUCCCUUUCAACAAUAAUACACAACAAGAAGAAGUUUUUGUUAGCAUUAAAACAAAGAUGAGCUAAAUUGCAUCAUUCAUUGAGCGGUUAAUUACUAUUUCCACUUGUACUCUAAUUUAGGGAUUUCUUUGCCAUGUGUGAAAUAGAUUCCAUCUUCUCUAGCAUCCCAAUAGUUCUUUUUACCAUAAUGAACUAUGAGACCACCACCUUCAUAUGCCAUAAACGAUGCAUGAAACUUGAAAUUAGGCCCUUGCCAUAAGUCACAAUAAAACUCUGAUCUCACAACGCUGUCAUGGAAACUAAAAUCAUAGGUUUCUCCGGUACGCAAGAAAUGGAAACCUAAAUUGUCGUCGUUUGAUACGCAAUGAAUCUUCAAGACGUUGUUUCGACCAAGGGAACUCUUAGAGAAUACUGAGUUUUUCUCAUUCCAUUGAAAUUUUGCGUUAGUCAAUCCUACGCAAAAUCCAAUAGCGAGUAGAAAACAUAAGAGACGAUUCAUUGUUUGACUGUCUGAAUUGGCCUUUCUUCUAUUCUUCUCUUAAAUUUAGAAGUAACAUGUUGUUUUUAUACAAGUGUGUCACAUGUUAUUUAUUAUGAUUUGGUGUUUCUAUUUAUAAACUUGUUAGUUUUACUGAUAAGUUCUUGACAUUUGAUCGCUUCUGCUUUUUGCCCUUAUCGAUUUUGCUGUUUUGUAUCUAUUUUAAGGAUUAAUGCUUUUGAUAGAUUUAUUUUCAACAUGAAUCUUCAUGAUCUUAAUAACCAAUUAUGACCUUCACUCCCAUUAUUAGCAUCAAGUGGUAGCCCGAUACAAUAAAGUACCAUUCUUAUCUCUUGUUAGCAAUUUCGAAAAUGUUCUUCGAGAUUUAGCAAAGAAACUUACCCAAAAGAAGCACUUACAAAAAGUAAGCACCAGCGAUCUAGCCAUAUAUACACAAUUUUUUUUGGUUAAAGAAAAUUUUAUAAUUUAAGUGAAUUAUUAGUUAUAAUUUUUUUGUUGAAGCAUACGGUCGGGUUGAAUGGAACUUCUGGGAAGAGCUUCUGAUACAUGUGGAAUAAAUAACUAAUAAACAAUGCAUCCUCCAAAGCCAAGUAAAGAUAGAUAAGAGGAAUUGAAAAAGAAUCCAAGAGAGUUUUGAGGCAAAGGCUACGAAACGCUUUGACACAUUUGAACUGUCUUCCACGAUGAGAUCAAUGGUAGAAAUGUUGGUCAUUGUCAAGAGACUAGAUGGAGGUCAUGGCCGAAAAUCUCGCUGGCACGAGAAGGGAUAUACACGGAUUAGUGCAUAAGCCAUAACAUGGGAGCUUUUGGUUUUAAAAGCUGGUGAGACCUGUCCUAGAACACCAACUAAUGGCUUUAAAAUUUCCAUAGGGCGAGCUAAGGCUUCUAGGAUCCAGGUUCUAGAAUGGAUAGCAGUAGGGCGGUGGUUGAAGUAGUUAGCUAGAAGCGUUGAUGGGUGAUUUUUGGCCAAGGACCAUAUGCACAUAUUAAUGUACUGUACCUUCCAUAAUAAUUUAUUACAAAGGUUCCUCUUCAACAGUAUUAUCACAACAAUACGAACUUUUUUUGUUAACAUUAAAACAAAGAUAUGCUGAAUUGCAUUAAUCAUUGAGCGGUUAAUUAUUAUUUCCACUUGUAUUCUAAUUUAGGUAUUUCUUUGCCAUGUGUGAAAUAGAUUCCAUCUUCUCCAGAAGAAGAGAACUUGAACCCACCAAUACUAGUAAUGGUUCAUCAACCUGCCAAACGGUUCGAUACAUUCUUUUGCAUUGUUGACAGAUCUUUUUGCUAUUCUAAGUAGCAUGAACCAAAAAAAAAAAAUGAUCUACGACAAAAAAGAGGAGAGUCGUUACGUGACUAUAAGGAACGGUUCAACAAGGAGAAUGUGAAAAUACCUAGUUGCAACAUGAAAAUUGGGUGCCAUUUCGGCUUUCAGAAGAGGUUACUUCAUGAUGGUUGACUUGUACAAAAUACUUAACAAAAUAAUAGUGCAAAACAAUGGAGGAUGUACCCUCGCGGGCAUGUGUGCAGAAAAAGGAGCAUUAGACACAUCAUAUCGACAUCGACACUACUAGUAAAAGAAAAUCCCUAAAGUCAUUUGGCUAUUUGUGGUUGUGCCUUAAUAUUCGUGGCUAUAUCGUCGUAGCUUAAAAAAUUCAUGGCUUUUGUAAUUAAAUCAUCUUAUAGCCACAAAUUUUCACGACUGCCAAGUGGCUAUAGAUAUUUUUUUUAGAGAAAAUUGGGAUUAAUGCCAUGAACAGUAACAAUUUUUAUGUGUAUUGCCAUUUAUUCUAUUGUCUUCUCAUCUCUGUCAUAUAACACAAAACAAUGACAAUUUUACCCUUUUAAGAAUAAACAUCUUAAAUUUAUUUUUUCCAGCGAUGUGUCAGUUUUCUUCCCCACAUUUGACUGUUCACGUUCUGCAACACACAUUUUUCUUCAAUGGACAAACAACUAUUACUAAACAAUUUUUUUCAUUCACAAAUUGCUCACACCAUAUUUUACUUUCGAUCUAGUUCUAUAUUCUCAUAUGGAAGGUGAAGAACAUAGAGUUGAAAUUUCCAGAUUUCCAGAAGACAAAGAUUUUCUCAGCCUGAUACCUAGACAAAAGUUGUUCCCAGAACUCCUCAAUGUAAAUUUCAAUGGACCAGAUCUACUGCACCUAACAUGUCCAUCAACACAGUUGUCCAUAUCUUUUACGAUUUAUCUUUUUUUCUUGUGUUUGUCCUUCACCCAUUUAAGAAAACUUAUGUUAUCUUUACCAGAGUACAAUAACCUACUCACCCCGCUUCGGAGAACACGCAAUAGAGAUGUCAUUCGGUACCCGUCGAAGUAAGUUUUUGAUGGACCAGAUUUACUUCAUAUAUUUUGUCCAACAAAAAUUCUACGAUAUCGUCUAUAAUCAACUUGUCUACUAGUUUGUUUUAUCACUCGUCCAUCAUUCAUGUUGUCUACCUAGCUAGAUCUCCGAUGUCCAUUGUACAUGCAGUGGACGACAAUAUAUAUGUACUCACAAAAACAAGUAUUGUCCGUUAACUAUCCCCAUUUAUUUAUUUAACUUGUCUACAAACAUUUUAUGUUGUCUAGUUGUCCAUCGCAAUCUGGAUCUCCGGUGGACAAAACCGAAGCUAGUUGUCUAUCGAUACAUACCCACCAUUUCCAGAAUAAUUAUCUGUUACUUAUCUUCCAUUAAAACACACUCAUAUUUUAUUUAUUUUCUUUUUGUUUUGCUCUAGAAUCACUCACUUUAUCAAUUAUCUUGUGGGUAUUAGCCUAUAUUGUAUUUAUUAAAUGCUCUCUGUUGCUGCUGAAAAACAUGUCCCAUCUGGUAAUAUUUUUUGAAUCCAACGCAUCCUCUCUUCUGCCAAUAAGGGUAUUUUAGUCAAUUGCUCUUAUAUUAUUUAACCUAAUAUGGCACUACAGAAAAUACUUAAUGCAAAGUGGCAGUUUUAGUUUUUUGAGUUUCAAAAGUGGCAUAGAAUAUAAUAAUCCCUUUUUCUUACUAGUUAAUUUACUGAUCACAUUUUGAUUAUCGUGUAGUAAGGGAUGAAAUAAUGACUCGAGAUGAUAAACCUUACCAAAGACUUCGAAGCGAAUACACUAGCAAUAUAGUCAAUAAAUAAUGAGGACACUCAUCAAAAUUUAAACGAAACUGCAAGUGAGGAGCCAAAAUUCGUCACCAUGACAAGAUGUCCAAUACCUUCUCCCUUUUUAUCGUAUGGCGAUAUUAGGUUUUAAAAAAAAAUUGUAAAUUAUCUUCAAAUAUUGUUUUCUCAUUCCAUUUUAAAUUUGUGUAGGUUUAAAGUGACUUUGUUGAGAAAUAUAUAAUUCAUAACUAUGCACGAUCUCAAUCUCAAGAAAUGAAAUAUUUUCGUUUUCCCAAAUAGAAUUGGUUGGCUAUCACAUCGAUCUGUUAAAUAAAAUUGGUUGGGGCGUCAUAAGCUAUACGAUAUUUAUAUUUUCUUAUACUAUAUGUUGAAAGUGUGUGAUUGUGAAAGGAAAGUAAGAUAAAACAAAAAUACGUGUGAGAGUGCAAUUAUUUCUAUUUAAAGUGUGACAAUACAAUACAAACUAAAAGUGAAAUGAUAAAUAAGCCAAUUAUUUACAAGUGACAUGAACUAUAUAUUCCCAAAAUUGUCAAGUGGUUUUGAGUUUAAAUCGCUUAAUGUAAAUCAGCACUUUCAUCGUUUCAAUGAUCUAAUGUUAUUGGUAAUUUGUUUCUUAAAUUUUAGCACAGCACUCAAAUUAUUAGGUAACAAGCAUUUAUUUGAUCCCCCAUCAUAUUAUUCAAUGCUCUAGUACAUUUGGAUUUGUGUGUCAUAUUUUAAUUUGCCAUCGGUCUAGAUCACAUAACUAGAAACUAGCUCCUACUACAACCACAAGAGUCAAGAGUUAUGUUACAAAAAAAAAAUUUAGUACCACAAACACGUUUUAACAAACUACUAUGUUCUUAUCUUUCCCUCUUCAAACUACUCAUACUCUUCUUAAUUUUUUAUAUAGAGGUUUUAAUUUAUCGAUAAAUUAAUAAUUAUUAAUUUAUCGAUAAAUUAAUAAUUAUUAAUUUAUAGAGAGAUUUUUCUAAUUUGGAAAGUUUUUUCAGAAAAAAUAUUUAAAAAUAAGAUUUAAUCAUGAUAAUUAGUAUUUUAUAUAAUCAAUUACAAAGAAAAUAAUAAUUAUUUUGUCUUGCUAAUAAUUUUUGAUAUAGUAAAAUAUUAGAAAUAAACUCUAACAAAAAUUAAUGUGUCUAUAUAUAUAUAUAUAUUGAAAUUUUACCUAAUUAUUAAUUUAUAAUAUUGAUGGGACUAUAUAUUUACAAAUGAUUUUCAAAAAAAUUAUUAUCUUAUUAUUUUAUCGAAAUAUGUCUAAAAUUACACUUGUCCCAAGUUGGGACCGGAGAAAUUUAUUAAUUUAUAGAGAUUAUUAAUUUAUCGAGUAUUAAUUUAUAGAGGUUUUACUGUAUGUUCUUAUCUUUCCCUCUUCAAACUACUCAUACUCUUCUUAAUUUUUUAUUUAAAUAUUUACACGAGAAGUUAUAUAUACAAACUUUAUAGACCUAUAUAUAAUACUCAUAACAUAAACUCCAACGAAAUUAAUAGUGAAUCCUUAUUAACUAUCCUAGUUAAUUUAAAGCGUUAAUCAAAAGAAAGUAAAAAAAAAAAAUAUAAGAAGAAGAAGAAGAAGAGUUCAAUCAUCCAUUAAGAUGAGGUUGGUCCACGCAGGUACAUAGUCUUUAGAGCAUGUGAUAAACGUAUCAUAUGAAUUCUGUGGUUGCUAAUCAUAGACCAACUUGUAUUUAAGCAAGCCAAGCUUAUAACUCCCCACAUAUACAUUUUGCAUUCAAACAACUGAUCAAUCGAAAGAUGGAAGGCAAAACUGUGAUUUUAAGUGUGCUCAUAGUGAGUCUUGUCAUGACACAGAUUCAAGUCGAAGCAAUGAGUUGUUGCCCAGACAAGACUUCUAGAAACUGUUACAAUGCAUGCCGUCUUAUCGGAACUUACACGGAAGCUUGUGCAAAAGCAUGCGGAUGCAAAAUUGUCGGAGGGUCAACAUGUCCUUCGGGAUAUACACAUGACAUUCUCGAAAACUCUGGUAAUUUAAUUUCAUCUUUUUUUUUUCUUUGUUCUUUCAUUAAGUUUAUAUAUUGUACAAGUUGGACCAAGAUUUUGAUGCAAGUUUAAAAUAUUGUUUUAUGUUUUUUAUUUUAUUUAAGGUGAUGCUGUCAACGAAUACUGCAAGUUGGGUUGUGCAUCCUCUGUGUGUGGUGCCCUAACCACUCUCAAGAACUCCGGUAACGCAAAAAACUUAUUAUGAUUAUUAUUAGAUUUAUAGAAAAAGAGAAAAAACAUAUUAAUUCUAAUAUUGUGUGUGGGUGAUUUAGAUGCAAGUGAAAUUGUGAAUGGAGCAGCUGUACAAUGCACCAAGGCAUGUUCUGAGUUCUGUACCAAGGGCUCAUCCAAUGCAGUUGAAACUGCAUAAGAAGCAUAUACAUGAUCUAUGUGUUUUUGUUUUCCCUGUUUCAAUAAUUAUCGUGUAUGUGGGUUAAAAAAAAUGCUAGACACUUGAGCUAGCUUCUACUAUUUCCAGGUUUUCUAUGUGACGUAGAAGAGGGUUAUUGAUCCUAGAUUGUUAACCUCUUCUACUUGCUAUUAUCUAAAUAAAGAAUGAUAAUGUGUCCUUAUCGGCUAUAGUCAAUACAAACUCUCGCAAAACUGUCAAGACUUACAAAACUUUCAAGACUCUCAAGACUUAGCAAAACUUUCAAGACUUACAAAUCUCAUAAUUAUAGUCGAUCAUUUUGUCAUGAUUGUAUUGAAUAAUAAUCCAAUAGAUUUUAGCCAUAAGGGAACGGUGGAAAUUAGUAUAUUAUAUAAGGGUUAAUACCAAGGACCGAGUGAUUACACCAAAUACUUGGAAGACUAGUUUAAGGCUAAAGCUAAAUUUUGAUUUUGGUGUUUGAGACAGUAACGAACUUAGCAACAAUAAGUAAACGGCAGUAAAAUAUACUAAUUAAUAAAUUGAUAAAUUUGUAAAUUGUGAAUUGGGUCAGAGGGUGUUUUGUAGGGAUUUAGAAAUAAAUAAAAUUCAUUAUCUUAAUUUAAAUUUUACUUAUUUAUUUGAUUACCUCAUUUUUUGUAUGAAUGUAACAUUUAUUCAACAACAAAAAAAAUGUUUUUACAUCAAAUGCAUCUUAGAGAGUAAAACAAUUUCAUGAAAGAUCUACAAAGCUUAAAGGGUUGCAAUAGUUUUUGAGAUGAGAACCAGUAACGUAGUCCACCUUCAUAAACCGGGUUCCCCAAUUGACGUAUUGUGCUGAAUACUCUCCAUGACGUCGUCCGUUACGUUCCCUCCAUAGACUAUGAAUCGUGGCUUGGAAAACGCACCUUAUAGUGAAUGUGUGCAUGCGAGGUUUUGAAGAAUCUAGAAGAAGAGGAGUGAUUGAGCUCCAAGUUGACGUGUAGCUGCUUCAUGUACUUAGUCGAUUUGAUCUACGUGAUAUCCAUUGAACCCAUAUUGAGUUUUUUUUAUCCUUAACUCUAAAUUCAGAAAAAGAAAUAGAAUUCCUUUAUAUAUUGAGAAAAAAAAAAUUCUUUAGAAUUAUAUUUUAAAGAUGAAAAUAGAGAUGAAAUGAAAUAGAUUUUACUCUAAAAUAGAGUUUAUAGAAGAUUGGAGGGUUUGCGAUGAGUACGAUUUGUUGGAAGUUGAUACAUUACUUAAUCCUGCAAAAGAGAAACGAAGAUAAAGGUGAAAUGAUGAUGAAGAGCAGAGACAUGAGUAACAAACUGAUGAAGAAGAAGAUGAAGAGAUGUAACACCGAACCAUUUUUCUUUUGAAUAUAAUUUAACAUUCGAUUCAAAAAAAAAAAAAAAAAAAAAAGAAGACAUGAAGGAUCUCAAAUCAGACCCAAUAAGAAAUGGGUCUCGUAGUUUUUUUUUGUUUUUUUGGGGUCAAACAGGGUCAUGUAGUUUAUGCUUUAGGUUUAAGAUAGAAACAACUAUUAGGUAAUAGAGUAUAAAUAUGUGUAUUGAUAAUUUGUUUCGAAUAUUUUAGGGCACCACAAAAUUAUUAGGCAACAAGCAUUUAUUAAUUCGGUCCCAACAUAUUAUUCAAACCUCCUAUACAAAACCAAAGAGUUGGUUAAAAACAAAAAGUUAUACACAAAACACGUUUGUAACAAACUAUUUGGAUUUUUGUCUCAUAUUUUAAUCUGCUAUCAACCAAUUACGUAACACAAAACAUGUUAAAUUAGGGUUUGUUAUGGGCUUCCAACUCAAAACCAAUUGGCAAUGAGUAGAUAUACCAUAACCCUUUAUAUAUUACUUUAGUCUCAUCAUAUCUUCCGAUGUAGGAUCUUUCUCCACAAAACACGUUCUAACAAACUACGUUUCUUUUCUUUGCUUCUUCACACUACUCAUACUAAUCUUCUUAAUCCUUUGUUCAAAAAUUUUACACGGAGAAGUUAUAUACUAACUUUAUAGACAUAAUAUAUUUAUAAACCAAAUUAUAAGAAGAGAGCGUACAUAAUAAUUACACGGUUAGCAAGAACAAGAUGAUUAAAAUUAUCCUUAGUCUGUCUGAAUAAUAUUGUCAUUAAGAUAAUAUAAGGUUGGUCCAUGCAGCGUGUACAGACAGUCUAUAGAGCAUGCAUGUGAUAAACAUAUCAAACGAAUUUUGUGUGGUUACCAAUCGUAGCCCAACUAGUAUUUAAGGGAGCCUUGUUUCAUCACCAAUUCAUCAAUUCAAGCUUAUAACUCGCCACAUAUCAAACAACUGAUCAACUGAAAGAUGGAAGGCAAAACUUUGAUUCUAAGUGUGCUCGUUAUGAGCCUCUUCAUGGCUCAAAUCCAAGUUGACGCCAAGACCUGCUGUCCUACCACGGGUGCUAGAAAAUCCUAUGAUUAUUGCCGCCCACUCGGACAACCCAGUUCAACAUGUGCAAGCUUCUUUGGCUGCAAAAUCAUUGGUAGUGGUAAUUGUCCUAACGGAUUUACCAACAAUAUUCUCGAAAACACAGGUAAAUUGUGUAAUAUUGUGCUUUAUUAAGUAUUAAAUUUGUUACAAUAUAAAUCAAGAUCUCUUUUCUUUCUUUUGUGUUUUGAUUUUUGUUUCUAGGUGAUGCUUUAUUAAUUUAUUAUAGUUUGAUCGGCUAAUUAUUUGUAUAGAUAUUUUUAUUUGAUUAUAUCACUCAACUAUAUCUCGUGUAGCUAAUAAUUACUUUUCUAAUCUAAAUGUUACUACUUGUUUUAAUUGUGUCCCUCCAUCUUCAUAUCAUUUUACUUAGAAAUUAUAUCUCAUAAAUUUUAUCUACCCUUCAGUUAUGGAAUUUACUCACGACACUUUCUCUUCCUAUAUUAUUGAAUCAACAAAAAUAAUUUAAAUAACAAAGUAUUCAAUCAACAAAAAUACUAAUGUUGGCUUACUUACAUUCACUGUUUUCAUAUCAUUAGUAGUGUACUUCACUAUUUUUAAAAUUUUUUAGGUGAUGGAACAAAGUUUUCAUGAGACAAGCAAAAAGAUUUUUUAAACAAAGUUAAGAAAUUGAAAGAGAUAAAAGAAUAGACAUAAAUAUAAGAUAAAUACCCUCAAAUAGCACUAAACCAAGUAUUAUGGACAAUUAUUGCACACACUCCACAAAUUUCUCAAAAUAGCACUAAUUAACAUGAUUACAAUAUUUUUAAUUAUUUUUUUGAUUUUUUUUUAAUGUUUGAAUGAAAUAUCUUCAUUUAGGGCUUAGUUUUAAUGGGUGUAGGAUUUAGUAUUUAUAGUUUAAGAUUUUACUUUUGAAAGUUUAAUCAUAAAAUAUGAUGCUAAUUUUAGAAUUUUGUAGAGUGUGUUAUAUUUGGAAACAAAAGUUGUUUUGGUGCUAUUAAUGAAAAUUGUCUAUAAUAUCAUUAUAGUUAAUAGCUAGACUUGGAAGGCUCAUUAUUUACGUAUUCAAAGCGGGAUCAAGCCCAAACGUAGUUCGAUCACAAAAAAGCGGGAUCAAGCCCAAAUUUCAUUAUUUGUCGGAAAUUAUGGUGAACAAUGUAGAAAAGAUUAUCCCUCUCUUUGUCGGUAGUCUUCAACUUGUUUUUAUAGCCUCUUUUUUUCUCCUUGAGUAUCAUCACUUGGCCUAUAUUCUAAAAUUUUCUCACAAAAUAACUCCAUAUAUACUAAAUUUAUAAAUCUAAAAAGCAAAUGUAAUCCUUUGACUUGACCAUGGUUAUUGAAAACCCUAAAUAAAAAGGCUUAAAAAUAAAUGCAUUAUAACAUAAUUCUAUUAGUUUACCUUUAACUCCGUGUUGAUCCUUGAAUAUUCAAUUUUCUCGAUUUUUUAUUGGUACUCUAAAAUGUAUCAUCAGACAUCUUUAAAUUUUAGCCCAUCAGUAAUGACUGAUUGUAUCUUCGUCGAUCUAACCGAUUGUAUUUUGGUCGAUCAUUGUCUUCAGAAUAGUCAUUUUGCUUAGAGAAUUCUGAUCCAAGUCAAUCUUCAGAAUAUCAUUUCACACACAAUUAAUCUUCAAGAUAAUGCUUCGACCAUGGAACUUUUGAAGAAUAUAUAGUUUAUCUCAUUCCAUUUUAAUUUUGUGUAGGUUUUAAGUACUUCAUAAGUCUGUGCAAGAUCUUAAUCUCAAGAAAAUAUUUUUCUUUGCCAAAAUCUUUCAUGUGAAAACAUUUUCCAAAGUAGUCCUUAAACUUUAAAUCAUACGUGGAUGAUUUCCAAAACUUCCAAAACUUAAUAGAUUCUCAACAUUAGAAUAUGAGAGUGUGAAAAGAAUAAUUUGCAUAUGAUUGAACAAACGAAACUUGCGUUGAGGAGUUUGCUUUAGACCAUAUAAUGAUAUAUAGACUUCUUCUGUUGGGAUCUCUAAACCAAGCCAACUUUCCAUUAGUAUGAUAUUGUCCGCUUUGGGCUUAUCACUCAAGCCCUCACGGAUUUAUUGGGCUCCUUCCCAAAAGGCCUCAUACUAAUUGGAGUUGGACUUGACUUAUAUAUUAGAAACUUCUCUUUCUAAUCUUCCGAUGUGGGAUAUUGGUUUGUAUUCCAAUACUCCCCCUCAAACCAAUAUUCACUCCCCUAGGUCCACAAUCUUGACCUAGGCUCUGAUACCAAUUGUUGGGAUCUCUAAACCAAGCCAACUUUCCAUUAGUAUGAUAUUGUCCGCUUUGGGCUUAUCACUCAAGCCCUCACGGAUUUAUUGGGCUCCUUCCCAAAAGACCUCAUACUAAUUGGAGUUGGACUUGACUUAUAUAUUAGAAACUUCUCUUUCUAAUCUUCCGAUGUGGGAUAUUGGUUUGUAUUCCAAUAUCUUCUUCUCAAUUGGGUGUGCCUCCCAGUUUUUAGACAAAACAAUGCUUAACAAAGUACGAACCAUCUUCAUCAUUCAUGCCCACAUGAGAGAAACGUUUCACUAUACUACUCUUCAACUUCUACCUUAUAACAAGUGACAUGAACUAUUUGUCAAGUGGUUUUGAGUUUAAAGAUUAUGUAAAUCAUCACUUUCAUCAUCUCAAUAAUAUCUCAUGUUAUUGGUUAUCACAAGCAAAAAUUUGUUUCAAAUAUUUUAGUACACCACUCAAAUUAGGCAAAGAGGAUUAAUUUAUUUGGUCCCAAUAAGCAUCUCCAAUACAAAACAAAAAGUUGGUUAUAAACCAAAUAGAAACACCAAACACGUUCUAAGUUGUAACAAACUAUUUGGAUUUAUCUCAUAUCAUGAUAAGUCAUCUCCAUCAAUCAUCUAGAUAUAACUAGAAGAGAUUUGAUAGAAGAUCGUACAACCACAAAACCGUUGGUUCUAACAAACUACUCAUACUCUUUCUUAAUUCUUAGUUCAAUAUUAUUUUACAUGACAAAGUUUAUAGACAGAAUAAUUAUAAUACAAACUCCCAUAAAUACGUAUGGGAUUAUUAGGGAUUCCCUAUUAAGCUUCAACAUAUUUUGUUUUUGUCUUUUUCCAACAGAACUCAGAAGAAUGAAAAAAGAAUAAGAAGAAGAUUUCAAGUACCCUAUCGAUUAAGAUAAGGUUUGUCCACGCAGACAGUCUAUAGAGAGCAUGUGAUAAUAAACAUAUCAAAGGAAUUUUGUGUGGUUACAAACCGUAGAGCUACUAGUAUUUAAGGGAGCCUUGUUUCAUCACCAAUUCAUCAAUUCAAGCUUAUAACUCUCCACAUACACAUUUUGCAAUCAAACAACUGAUCAAUCCAAAGAUGGAAGGCAAAACGUUGAUUCUAAGUGUUCUCGUAAUGAGCCUCUUCAUGGCACAAAUCCAAGUUUAACCACUCUCCAAAACUCUGGUAAAGCUAACUCUCAAAACUCCUUAUCAUUACUAUCAAUUUUCUUAAAAAAUAAUAAACAAGAGAACAUAUAUAUGAUAUGCUUCAAAUUUUUUUCCGAUAAUUAGAUGCAAGUGAAAUCGUGAAUGAAGCUGUUGGAAACUGUGCCUUGGCUUGUUCUAAAGUCUGCAACAAAGGUUCGAUGAAUGCAGUGGAAACUGCCUAAACAACCUUAUUCACAAAGAUCCGAAGUACAUCAUCUAUGGAGUGUUGUUUUUCAUGUUUUUCAUGAUUUCAUCAAUAAUUGUCGUGUAUGUGGCAAAAAUAUAGAAGGUUAUCGAUCCCUAGAUUGUAUAUGCCUUCUAUUCCCUAUAUUUUCAAUAAUAUGUAAUUGUGUCGUUAUAUUUUUCGUUCAACCAUUAAAGUUGCUUUGUGCUUAGCUAUAUUACAUAGUAUCAACCAUUUUAGCAAACUAUUUGAUUAAUAUUCACAUAAAAAUUCAAUCUAAAAGACGAGACUUAAGUCACCACCUUCAUAUGCCAUAAAUGAUGCAUGAAACAUACCAUAAGUCACGAUAAUUGUUUUCUUAAUCUCACAACAGUAAUAUCAUGGAAACUAAAAUCAAAGGUUUCUCAAAAGAUUGAAGCCUAGAUUGUAAGUCGCAACUAAUUUCCAAGACAAUGCUUCAUUAAACAUGGAAUUCAUAAUAGUCGAGUUGCAGGAAAUAUGGCGAUACAUGCAGAGAAGUUUUAAAAAGAGAUACCGAUUUAUAUAUAAGAAAAUAGAUCAAGAUUACAAUAGUUGAAGCUAGUUAGAGCAGAGAAUACAUGAGAGACAGAUUUCAAAAACCUAAUGUUGAAGCCAAUCAAAGUUGUUGAAAAACAUUUCUGCAAAACACAUUUAUUAUGUACAACAAUGUAACUGCUUCAUUUUGCUAUUAAAAAACUCACUGAACAAUCCGAAAUUAGCUUGUCAUACGAUGGGAAGCUCCAGUAUCCGAGAAUAUACUUUUCUUUUAUAAACUAAAAUAAAAAAGAUAGGUAUAAUUUUCUUGCAUAAUAUAGUUAUCGAACAUGUUUACAUGUAAAAAUUGUCAAGUGGUUUUGAGUUUAAAGCAUUUUUUGUAAACUCAUCAUCUCAAUCAUUUCAUAUUAUUGGUAACUUUCUUUUUCAAAUUAUUAACUCUCAUAUAAUUUUUGUUAACUUUCUUUUUCAAUCAUCUCAAAGUUUAUAGAGAGAGAAUACUUAUAAUACAAACUCUAAUAUAAACCAAAUUAGUAUAAUUAAGAACGUACAUAAUAAUAACACGGUUAGUAAGAACAUAAAGAAUAUAACCAGCAAAACUCAUACGAAAUAUAUAAUAGUGAAUCAAAAGAAUGAAAAAAGAAUAAAAAACAAGAUUUCAGAGCAUUAAGAUUGAAAAAAAAGAAAAGAUAGGGUUGGUCCAACGCAGCAUCGACAGACAUUUAUUUGGCAUUUAUUUGGUCCUUGAUGUAUAUAUUAUUUGGUCCCGACUAUAGAGAGCAUGUGAUAAAUUAGGCAUUUAUUUGGUCCCGACGUAUAUAUAUUAUUUUUUAAAAAAUUAAUGUAAAUUAUAUUCAAAAGAAACUUUUUUUAAACCUCGUGCAUGUUUGUUUGAAAUCUAAAACUGAGAAAGAAAUUUAGAAACCAAAGCUUAAUUUGUAGAGUAAAACCAAAACUACAAGAAAACAUACAUUUAGCAACUGUAGAAUUAGACAUUAAAUAGUCGCUUAAUUGUGUUUUACGACUACUUUAUGUAGUCGAAAAUACUUAGUCGCUAAUAGGAAUAGUCGCUAUAUAGUCGAUAUACGCCCAUACGCACAAGAAAAGAAUAAGUAAUCGUGAGAUUCCAGAGUAUUAUCACAGAGAACUCACCUUCCCGAACCACCAUUGUUCCAUUGCAUCAUACGGUCACCUGUAGCGAGCCCUAGAAGUGAUUUGGUUAUAACUGAUAACUAGAAACACAAAACACGUUCUAACAAACUCUUUGGAUUUUUGCCAUCAUCUAGACAUAACUAGAAGAGAUGUAGUUAUAACUGAUAACUAGAAACUCUUAUCAACCACAAUAAAGAAACACAAAACACGUUGUAACAAACUACAUGUUCUUGCGCUUCUCGAUUCUUACACAAGUUACGUUCUUAUCAUUCCCUCCUCAAUCUACACAUGCACUUUUUCAUUCAUAUAUAUAUUUAAAAUUAUUUACACGAGGAAUGAUACAAAUCUGUAGACAGAAUACUUAUAAUAUAUACGUAUAUAGUUAUAAACCAACUUAGUCUAAGAACGUACAAUAUAUAACCAGGAAAACUCAUACGAAAUUAAUAGUGAAUCCUUAUUAAGCAACACAAAUUAAAGCUUUAACCAAUUUAUAUUUUAAUGGUUAAUCAGAAGAAAAAAAGGAAUAAACAUAUCAAACGAUAAGAUUAGGUUAGUCCACGCAGCAUGGGCAGACAGUCUAUAGAGAGCAAGUGAUAUCAAAUGAAGUUUGUGGUUACCAAACUUAGACCAACUAGUAUAUAAGGGAGCCUUGUUCCAUCACCGAUUCAUCAAUUCAAACUUAUAACUCUCUACAUAUACAUAUUGCAAUCAAACAACCGAUCAAUCCAAAGAUGGAAGGCAAAACAUUGAUUCUAAGUGUUCUCGUUAUGAGCCUCUUCAUGGCACAAAUCCAAGUUGACGCCAAGAGCUGCUGUCCUACCAGCACUGCUAGAAAUAUCUAUAAUAGUUGCCGCGUUGUGGGAGGUUCCAGGCCAACAUGUGCAGGCCUCAGUGGCUGCAAAAUCGUUGAUGGGUCAUGUCCUAAUGGAUAUCCUAAUGAGAAUCUUGAAAACACAAGUAAAUAAAACAUAUUGUGCUUUACUAUGUACGUUAUUUGUCUUAAAGGGAAAAAUCAAGAUUUAAUAAGAAGAAACAGUUAAGACCUAAACAAGCAUUGAUCCAUCUGACUGAGGAAAAAGAAAAGAACCUUGUUGAGUGCAGAGACCGAUGAGGGAGUAACUGGUGAUGACACUGAGACACAAAUCCUUCCUUUUGUGCCAUGAAUUAGGGCUUUCUUCAGGGAAGCUUCGAACCGAGACACACAGAGAGACCCUGAUCAACUAAACCACAAAUAAAACACAUUUAGUUAUAUAUAUAUAUAUAACUGGAGAAAAAAUUAUUUUAAUUAAACCAAAAAUAAAACACAAUUGAUCAUCUUUAUUUAUCUCUCACUUUAAUUUUAAACUGAAAAAUUUAUAUUCAAUUAAAACACAAUUAAUUAGAUCUCUACAUUUAACCCACACUUUAAUAUAAGAACUGAAAUUACAUAAAUUUGCAUUAACUAUAUUUCUCUACUCAAUUUUAUUCAACACAAAAUUAAUAAGAAUUAACUCCCACAAUUGUUGAUUCACUAUCACAUAACAAAAACAUCUAUUUUACUGAAUUUGCAUACAUUUUAUUUAAUUUACUUCCAUCAUUAAAGUGAAAAAAAGAACAGAGUAUUUUAUAAGGUUUCACUAUCUUCUUAUUGGUCUAUUUUCUAUAAAAUGUUUUUUAAAUGAUGUUUUCAACUAAACCAAAAAUAAAACACAUUUAGUUAUAUAUAUUAAACUCACACUUUAAUAUAAAACUAAAGAAAAAAUUAUUUUAAUUUAGCCACAAAUAAAACAAAUGUGAUCAUAUAUAUUUAUCUCACACUUUAAUUUAAAACCAAACGAUAUAUAUUAAUUAAAACCCAAUUAAUUAUAUACAUUUAACUCACACUUUAAUAUAAAAACUGAAAUAAUAUAAACUUGCAUUAACUAUAUUUUUCUACUCAAUUUUAGUCAACACGCAAUAAAUUAGAAUUAACUCCCACAAUUUUUUUCUUCUAAAUUAUAACUCAUCACUUCUCAUCUUAUAAAGGGUUAGUUAAACGCAGUUAAAAGUAAGUACACAAAUAAACCAAAAACAAAAAGGAAGGUAUUGAUAAGUUAAAAUUUAGUUUUUUCAAUGAGAGGGAGGAAAAAUUACUUGGCUAUCCCUAUACUAAUUUAACAAAAACAAAAAUUUUGCAAGGCUGUGAAAGUAUCUUAUUUUCUGGGCAAAUCUCUGACAAGAGGCGCCAACUUGGGGAAAAGUGAUUUAUAUCAACAAAAUGAUGAUGCGCUAUAUAGAUUGCUAUCAGAUAACUAAGUUGCAUAUAUAGAUUGUUAUCGGAUAACUAUGAUGUUAUCAAAUAUAAAUUGUUAGAUAAAAUUGCAUAUAUAGAUUGUUAUCGGAUAACUAAGUUGUUAUCAAAUAUAUAUAUGCUGAUUAAUAAUAUAUAAAGCGAUAAGUCCUAUGUUACGUCGGUAACCCUAUCGUAGUUAAAUUUGUAAAGUCUCUGAUUUAAAUGUUAUCGGAUAACGUGGACGUUAUGGUGGCAAGAUUGCAUGUCCUCGCUGAAUAAACCAAACAUAGUAGUUAAACUUGGUUCAUAUUUUUAGGAGGAUAGGGUUAAAAUUGUCUACAUAAAAAGAAAGCAAAAUAAUGAUUUAUGGAUGUUAGAUUCUUAAUUAAAUGGUCAACUAGGUCUAUGAGUUAUAAUUUCCCUCUUAUAAAUACUCAUUUUCUCAUUCUCUCAUUCCCUCCUCCUCUUCCACUUUCUCUCAAAUCUUCUAUAAUUUUGUUUGUUUUGUUUUGUGUUUUUUUUUGUUGGUUAUCUGUUGUUUGUGGUUGUAUGAGUUGAAAAAUAAAAUUUAAAUACCAUUGUAAAAGUUUAAUCUAAAUUUUAAUUUUAGACACUAUAUGAUAUAUAUUUACAUUGUUGUAUUGAUUUUUUAAGAUUUAUCUCUAUUGUCUAUUAUCUUAUAAUUAAUCUCUCUCACUCUCUCUCUCUCUCUCUCUCUCUCUCUCUCUCUCUCUCUCUCUCUCUCUCUCUCUCUCUCUCUCUCUCUCUCACUACAUUCAUGUAUCUUAAAUAUUUUUCUAUUUUGUGUUAUUAUAUGGAUUGAAAAUCAAUGAAAGUAUCAUUUAAAUAAUUUGAUCUUAAUUUAUUUUAGAAAGUAUGAUAUAUAUCAAACUUAGUUUCAACUUUUAUUUCUAAUGCCUUAUUAUACAUACUUUUUCAAUUUUUAUUUCUAAUGCCUUAUUAUACAUACUUUUCAUACUUAUGAGUAUAAAUGAAGAAAGUAUGAUAUACCACAUAUGUAAAAUAAAAGUUUUGAUUGCUAUAUAAAUAAAAGGUUCAAUUUAAACCUUUAAAAAUAACUUCUUCUAUUUUUUAAAAAAUCUCAAAUAUUUUUUUUGUAAUUCAAUUCAAUAUAUGUAUAAUUAUUUACUUUGUGAUCCAAUAGAUUAUUAUAUAAAAAUUGUUAUAAUAUGUAAUUUAUUUAAAAUUUGAGGUCUAAGUGUUUAAAAGAAACAAAAAGUACUUGAUUUUACAAAUUUGGUCUUUAAAGUUUUAUUUUUUAAAAGUCAUACCGUUCAUAAAAGUUAAAUUUAGUUUAAUUCAUUCAUCAAUUGAGUAGACAGUGAAUUAAUGAGCUUCUAAAAUCCUAUUAAAUUAUGAGAUUUAAUAAGGUAUGAGUUCUACAAUAAUAUCAUAUACACUCUACACUCUUAGUAACUUAACCAUUUGUUCUAAAUAAUAGUCUUUCUUUUCAUAACAAUAUAAAUAUCUACCCCAAGUUAGAAUUUCCUAGAGAGACCGAACAUAAAUUCGAUUUCUUAAGAGCAAUUCAUGAUUGUUGUCAUGUACAUAUAAUUGAUAUAUAACUUCGUUCAUCUUCUUUGUUAAUGUUGAGGUAAACAUGUGAUGCCUUUUUAAUAUAAAUUCAUUUCUUUAGCUUUUAUAGUAAUGUAAAUCUUUAUGUUUGUUCUUAAAUGUUUUCAAUAUUAGUUUUAUUUUUGAACAAAUUCUACAUAAAAAAUUCUUACUAUAUAAAAAAGGAUCUCAUCUACGUAUAUGUGAACAAAUUUGUAUUACUUUGUUUUGAUCUCAUUCGGUUUCAUAUUUUUUAAAUAUAUAUUUUAUUUACUUUUACUGUUUAUAAUGUACACAUAUAUGUUUUAUAUUAACAAUUACUUAUAAACUAUAUAUAUCUUAAUGUAGUUUUCAAUUUAUAUUGCAAAUUAAUAUUUCAUAUACAACCGACGCAUUGCGUGGGUAACUUUCUGAUGAGUUAAUAUAUUUGUGAAUUCGUUUUAAUUACUGAGCCUAAUUGUGUGUUCUGUCGAAGAGUGAGCUAUUUUUUUUCCCUGUGAAGCUUAAUUAGUUUCUUAUGAUCAUAUAAAGCAAUGCGUACAUAAUCACUUUAGUUGUUUUUAUAAUGCUACAUAGACAACAAUUUAUGAGGUUAAAAAUCCAAAAUUUUGAUAAAUUAUUUCAUUUAAUUUACGUUAUAUUUUUUUAUUUUUAAUUGGCACUAGAUAAAGUGUAUUCUUGACUGAAUUUUUAAGUAUUGUUUCUACGUACUCCAUUUUAAGCAUUUGUUUGCCAUGCGUGAAAUAGAUUCAAUCAAAGUUGUGUUUAAAAAAAAAAAAAGAGAUAUCGAUUUAUAUAUAAGAAAACAGAUCAAGAUUACAAUAGUUGAAGCUAGUUAGAGCAGAGAAUACAUGAGAGACAGAUUUCAAAAACCUAAUGUUGAAGCCAAUCAAAGUUGUUGAAAAACAUUUCUGCAAAACACAUUUAUUAUGUACGAAAAUACAACAAUGUAACUGUUUCAUUUUGCUAUUAAAAAACUCACUGAACAAUCCGAAAUUAGCUUGUCAUACGAUGGGAAGCUCCAGUAUCCGAGAAUAUACUUUUCUUUUAUAAACUAAAAUAAAAAAGAUAGGUAUAAUUUUCUUGCAUAAUAUAGUUAUCGAACAUGUUUACAUGUAAAAAUUGUCAAGUGGUUUUGAGUUUAAAGCAUUUUUUGUAAACUCAUCAUCUCAAUCAUCUCAUGUUAUUGGUAACUUUCUUUUUCAAAUUAUUAACUCUCAUAUAAUUUUUGUUAACUUUCUUUUUCAAUCAUCUCAAAGUUUAUAGAGAGAGAAUACUUAUAAUACAAACUCUAAUAUAAACAAAAUUAGUAUAAUUAAGAACGUACAUAAUAAUAACACGGUUAGUAAGAUCAUACAGAAUAUAACCAGCAAAACUCACACGAAAUAUAUAAUAGUGAAUCAAAAGAAUGACAAAAAGAAUAAAAAAAGAUAGGGUUGGACAGACAUUUAUUUGGCAUUUAUUUGGUCCUUGAUGUAUAUAUAUUAUAUGGUCCCGACUAUAGAGAGCAUGUGAUAAAUUUGGCAUUUAUUUUGUCCCGACUAUAUAUUCUAUUUUUUUUUUAAAUAAUAUAAAUUAGAUUCAAAAGAAUUUUUUUUUUACAACUCGUGCAGGUUUGUUUGAAAUCUAAAACUAGGAAGGAAAUUUAGAAAAGAAAGCUUAAUCUGUAGAGUAAAACCAAAACUACAAGAAAACAUGCAUUUAGCGAUUGUAGAAUUAGUCGCUAAAUAAUCCAACAUAAUUGUGUUUUACGACUAUUUACGACUAUGUAAAUAGUUAGUCGCUAAUAGGAAUAGUCGCCAUAUUAUAGUCGUUAUACGCCCAUACGCACAAAAAAAGAAUAAGUAAUCGCGAGAUUCCAGAGCAUUAUCACAGAGAACGCACCUUCCCCAACCACCAUUGUUCCAUUGCAUCAUACGGUCACCUGUAGCGAGCUAACCACGUCCAAAGGCAAACUUUGGUGUGGCGUGGCGGAAACACAGUCCCUUAGACCAAAACACCUCAGCUAUAUAUUACAUUCAAAUCUCCAAUACAAAACAAAAUGUUGAUUAAAACAAAAAGAAUCACAAAAGACGUUCUAUCAAAUUAUAAUUGGAUUUUUUCCAUCAUCUCGACAUAACUAGAAGAGAUUUAGUUAUAACUAAUAACUAGAAACUCCUACCAACCACAAUAAAGAUUUCAACUAUCCUUUAAGAUAAGGUUGGUUUACACAGCAUGGACAGACAGUCUAUAGAGAGUAAGUGAUAUCAAACGAAGUUUGUGGUUACCAAACUUAAACCAACUAGUAUUUAAGGGAGCCUUGUUCCAUUACCAAUUCAUCAAUUCAAACUUAUAACUCUCUACAUAUACAUACUGCAAUCAAACAACCGAUCAAUCAAAAGAUGGAAGGCAAAACUUUGAUUGUAAGUGUUCUCGUUAUGAGCCUCUUCAUGGCACAAAUCCAAGUUGACGCUAAGAGCUGCUGUCCUACCAGCACUGCUAGAAAUAUCUAUAAUACUUGCCGCGUUGUGGGAGGUUCCAGGCCAUCAUGUGCAGGCCUCAGUGGCUGCAAAAUCGUUGAUGGGUCAUGUCCUAACGGAUACACUAACGAGAAUCUUGAAAACACAGGUAAAAAAUACAAUAUUAUGCUUUAUUAUGUACGUUGUGUGUCUAGCUUAUUGUCUUAAAAGAUAAAUCAAGAUUUAAUUGUUUCUUUUGUGUUUUGUCUCAAGGUGAUGUUGUUAGUGGAUACUGCAAGGUUGGAUGUGUAUCCUCUGUGUGCGGUGGUUUAACCACUCUCCAAAACUCUGGUAAAGCUAACUCUCAAAACUCCUUAUCAUUACUAUCAUUUGUUUUUAAAAUAAUAAACAAGAGAACAUAUAUAUGAUAUACAUUUUCAAAUUUUGUUUCGAUAACUAGAUGCAAGUGAAAUCGUGAAUGAAGCUGCUGGAAACUGUGCCUUGGCGUGUUCUAAAGUCUGCAACAAAGGUUCGAUGAAUGCAGUUGGAACUGCCUAGACAACCUUAUUCACAAAGAUACGAAGUACAUCAUCUAUGGAGUGUUGUUUUUCAUGUUUUUCAUGUUUUCAUCAAUAAUUGUCGUGUAUGUGAGAAAAAUGUAGAAGGUUAUCGAUCCCUAGAUUGCAUAUGCCUUCUAUUCCCUAUGUUUUCAAUAAUAUGUAAUUGUGUCGUGAUAUUUUACGUUCAACCAUUGAAGUUACUUUGUGCCUAGCUAUAUUACAUAGUAUCAACCAUUUUACCAAACUAUUUGAUUAAUAUUCACAUAAAAAUUCAAUCUAAAAGACGAGACUGAAAAAAACAUGUUAAAUUCAACGAAUUUAAUUAUGUGUUAUAUGAGUUUUUGCAGGCUAUUUAAGUAAAAAUAUAUAAAAAAAGAUGCAUUGUUUAUAUUUUUUUAAACAUAUCUCUGAUAAAUGAUACAAUAUUCACUAAAAAUAUCUGAUUGAAUCAAUAAACAACAGAUGAUGGUUUUGGUUGGUCAUAUAGCUUACGGUUUUGUGUGUAUCAGAUUUAUCCCUACUAUAGUAAAAGAGAAGUACACAAGGGAUUCGGGUCGGUUUUUUUAAAGAAUUCCGAGUUAAAUUUUCAAUCGGAUAGUUGCCAUUAUUAAACUAAGUAAAAAGACAGCUUAUUUUAAGGAAUUAUGGUAAAAAUUACCUAAAAUAGAUCUCAAUCUUUAGAAAAAUAUUUAAAUAUGUAAAUUAUACCACAAUCUUGUGAUUUUAUUGUUAAUCGAUUCAAAAUUUUAUUAAAUAUCAUAACUAUAAAAUCUUAAUAGUUACGAUUUAGUUAUUUAAAUAUAGAAUAUGAAUUUUUGAAAUAUGUAAAAUUUUAAAUAGAAAAUGCAUGAUUCAAAUAAUAAAAUUACAUAUUCGUUAAAAAUAGGUGGUGUAUAAAAAAUCUAAGAGUGAACAUUUAUUUACCUAAAUAUAUGAAGAUUUAAAAAAAAUAUAUAUAACCAAAAAAGAGAUUGCUAUAUAAAAAGUAAAAAAAAACGUAUUUACUAUUUAAAAAUUAAGUGUAUAUAUAGCAAAAUCUAACACCAUUUUAUAUAUGACAAAAAAAACUCUGCUUUACCGAAUAUAUAACACCAUUUUAAUAUAGUUUCUAAAUUAUUUUCGAAUUUAUAAGAAAAAACAUUAAUACAUAAAUGUAACUAUAGAUCCUAAUUAUUAAAAAAAUCCAAAUACUAAUUAAUCAAUUUUUAUUCAACUCUAGGUUAUUUUAAUACACUUUGCCAAAAAUUUGACACCAAAUAUACAUUUUGAAAUAAUAUAUGUUGAUUAUAAAAUAAACAAAAUAAGAACAAAUACUAUAUAACACGUUAAAUAAAAACCCAAAAUCCUUCACCCUGUAGCGCGGGUCCGAUAACAAAAUUCUGAUACACAAAAUAACAAAACCGAUACUUUUCCUCCGCGAUGUAGCGCGGUUCCGGACCUAGUUGUUUUGUAUUAAAUGAGAUAAUAUAUUUGUGAAUUCGUUUUAAUUACUGAGCCUAAUUGUGUGUUUUGUCGAAGAGUUAACUAUAUGUUUUUCCCUGUGAAGCUUAAUUAGUUUCUUAUGAUCAUAUAAAGCAAUGCGUACAUAAUCGCUUUAGUUGUUUUUAUAAAUGCUACAUAGACAACAAUUUAUGAGGCUAAAAAUACAAGUUUAUGAUAUAUUAUUUCAUUUAAUUUACAUUAUAUUUUUUUUAUUUUUAAUUGGCACUAUAUAAAGUGUGUUCUUGACUAUAUUUUCCUCUAUCAUUGUAUUCAUAACAGUCAUUUUAAGUGCUUUUCAUUCUCUUCCUUUGGAAAUUGUUGACUAGGGUCGUUAGAUAGACUUUAUAAUGCCUAUUGAUUAUUUCGUUGGCUUUGAAAGAACUUGAUAAUUGACUGAUUAGUAAAGGGCUUUGAAAGCAUAACCAAAGUCUUUGUAUGAGUCACUUUUGAUAUUAAUAAAUGAUAAACCAAAAAGAGACAAUCUUAAUUGCCCAAAAUAACUUGUGUCAUGCUAGAGAAGAGGACUCUCAUUAUCUCUUGUUCGGAUACAUAAGUGAGAUCUCCCGCCUUGUCGAUAGAUCCCCUGUUUUGAUUCCGCCUCUACAUUACUUAGACAACCAUAUCCAUGACGAUACGAUCUAUGUACAUCAUCUUGGUCUGUUGUUUUUCAGGAUUUAAAUCACUGUCAUGUAUGUGACAAAAAAUGUAGAAGGUUAUCGAUCCUUAGAUUUUAUAUGCCUUCUAUUCCCUAUAAUAUUCUAAUUAGUAAUUGUGUCGUGCUAUAUGCUUUCACUCAACGACCAUUCUAGUCGCUCUGAUCUGCUUUACUAAAUUAUACAAAAUAUUAUCCAACUCUUAAACUCAAUUAUUUUAGAAGAAAUUUGCCACAAUAGUACGUUUUUAAAAAUAAGUAAUAUAUGGGUAUAUAUAUGUCAGUGAAACAAACUUACAACAAAGGUUAAUAAGUUUUUGCAAACAUUAAAACAGUGUGAGAACCUAGUUUGCAAGUCAUUGAAGUGCACUUAUUUUUUCGGUCAAGGGUUUUGAGAUAAUUAAGUGUGUUUAUAUUGGAAUAGUCUUACGAUGGAUAGCUUUCAGGGCAAGGGUCUUUAUGUAAAUUUAAGCAUUUGUUUUUUACGUAAAUUUCAUCAUUUACUGAGUUGAGUGGUUAAGUAUUGUUUCUACGUACUCCAACUUAAGCAUUUGUUUGCCUAGAUUGUAAGUCGCAACUAAUUUUCAAGACAAUGCUUCAUUAAACAUGGAAUUCAUAAUAGUCGAGUUGCAGGAAAUAUGGCGAUACAUGCAGAGAAGAUUAAAAAAAAAUUACAUCCGUAAAGUAUAGACACUGUCACAGUCUUUCCAGGCUCAAAUCAAAGUUGUAUUUUUUUUUUAAAAAGAGAUACCGAUUUAUAUAUAAGAAAACAGAUCAAUAUUACAAUAGUUGAAGGUAGUAAGAACAGAGAAUUCAUGAGAGACAGAUUUCAAAAACCUAAUGUUGAAGCCAAUCAAAGUUGUUGAAAAACAUUUCUGCAAAAUACAUUUGUUAUGUACGAAAAUACAACAAUGAAACUGUUUCAUUUUGCUUAUUACAAAACCCACUGAACAAUCCGAAUUUGGCGUGUUAUUACGAUGGGAAGCUCCAGCAGUAUCCGAGAAAAUACUUUUCUUGUAUAAACUAAACUAAUAUAGUCAUCGAACACGUUUACAUGUAAAAAUUGUCAAGUGGUUUUGAUUAUAAAGCUUUUUUUUUUGUAAACUCAUCAUCUCAAUCAUCUCAUGUUAUUGGUAACUUUUUUUUUUUCAAAUGAUUUAGCAUUUAUUUGGUCCCAACGUGUUAUUCAAAAAAGGAUAGGGUUGGUCCAUGGACAGACAGACUAUAGAGAGCGUGUGAUAAAUUAAGCAUUUAUUUGUAUAUAUAUUAUUCAUUUUUUUUAAAUAAUGUUAAAUUCUAUUCAAAAGAAAUUUUUUACAACUCGUGCAGCGUUUGUUUGAAAUCUAAAACUGAUAAGGCAAUUUGGAAAACAAAGCUUAGUUUGUAUAGUAAAACCAAAACUGAAGCCCGUUGUCGUAGCGCCGGUCUCCAACGAGGCAAAUAGUCGAAUAUAUGUUUCUCAUUUGCAUAUCUAUCCAAGUUAUAAGCAGGGAAGUUGAGUUCGGAUUCUCGCGUGUCUCCUUCCAUUUUGCUCCUUCUAAAUAGUCUAAAUAGCCAUUUGUAGAGAAAUUAGACUUGAAGAUGUUCUUAGCUACUGCUGCCCAAAAUUCACCCCCGUACGCACAAGUAAUCCCGAGAUUCCAGAGCAUUAUCACAGAGAACGCACCUUCCCGAACCACCAUUGUUCCAUUGCAUCAUACGGUCACCUGUAGCGAGCUAACCACGUACAAAGGAAAACUUUGGUGUGGCGUGGCGGAAACACAGUCCCUUAGACCAAAACACCUCAGCUAUAUAUUACAUUCAAAUCUCCAAUACAAAACAAAAAGUUGAUUAAAACAAAAAGAAUCACAAAAGACGUUCUAACAAACUACAAUUGGAUUUUUGCCAUCAUCUAGACAUAACUAGAAGAGAUUUAGUUAUAACUAAUAACUAGAAACUCCUACCAACCACAAUAAAGAUUUCAACUAUCCAUUAAGAUAAGGUUGGUUCACAGUCUAUAGAGAGCAUGUGAUAUCAAACGAAGUUUGUGGUUACCAAACUUAGACGAACUAGUAUAUAAGGGAGCCUUGUUCCAUCACCAAUUCAUCAAUUCAAACUUAUAACUCUCUAAAUAUACAUAUUGCAAUCAAACAACCGAUCAAUCCAAAGAUGGAAGGCAAAACUUUGAUUCUAAGUGUGCUCGUUAUGAGCCUCUUCAUGGCACAAAUCCAAGUUGACGCCAAGGUCUGCUGUCCUACCACCACUGCUCGAAAUGUCUAUAAUUAUUGGGAUAUUAUUUAUCAUAGUAAAUCAUAUCCCACAAUUAUCGUACAUAGACUUAUUUGUUACCUAUUCUGCAAUGUAAAUUAUCUGCAUAUCUUUACUCUUUAGACUAGGUCAUCAAGUCCUUGUAAUAUAUAAGUAUGUAAUGGCCUCUCAAUGAAAUACGCAGAACACAUUCAUUCUCUGUCUGUUUAUGGUAUCAGAGCGGGUCGAAACAGUUUUUUUGAUUUUCUCUUAGUUUCUCUCUGCAACUCGAUCAUGGCUGCAACCAACGAACCAAACACGAACACGAACCCGAUGACCGGCGAGGUGAGACGCAAAAUCUCUCCCUACGACUUGAGUGCUGCGGACAAUCCGGGCGCUGUGAUAUCACUACCUUUGUUGAAAGGACCGAAUUAUGAAGAAUGGGCUUGUGGAUUGAAGACAGCUCUUUGCUCACGAAAGAAGUUUGGAUUUCUCGAUGGCUCCAUUGCUCGUCCUGCUGAUGGAUCUCCUGAUCUGGAAGAUUGGCUAACCAUUCAAGCCUUGCUCGUAUCAUGGAUUCGCAUGACAAUUGAUCCUUUGCUGCGGUCCAACGUUUCUCAUCGUGAUGUGGCUAAGGACUUGUGGGAUCACUUGAAGAAACGAUUUUCGGUGACUAAUGGACCACGGAUUCAGCAAUUGAAGGCAGAGCUCGCCUGUUGCAAGCAAAGAGGUCUCGCCAUUGACGCGUAUUACGGAAAAUUGAAUCGCAUUUGGGAUAACAUGGCGCAUCACAGACCUUUGCGUGUUUGUAAAUGCGGUAAGUGUGAGUGUAAUCUCACUGUGCUUCAAGAACAAGAUCGUGAGGAGGAUAAGGUUCAUGAUUUUUUGGCUGGUCUUGAUGAUGCAUUCAAGACAGUUCGAUCCAGCCUCGUGUCUCGUCUACCCAUUCCGUCCAUGGAGGAGGUGUAUAAUGUUGUUCGUCAAGAGGAGGAUUUGAAGACAAAUGUCAAACAAAGUGAAGAAGUUGCUGAAGUCACAGCAUAUGCGGUACAACAACGACAUCGCACCAACCCCUCUGCUCGUUCUGAUGACGCUCAACCAGUGUGCAAGCACUGCAGUCGAACUGGUCACUCCUCCGAUAGCUGCUUUGCGGUUGUCGGGUAUCCGGAGUGGUGGGGUGAUCGUCCAAGGAGCAGAACGGUUCAAGGUCGUGGACGUGGACAAUCUGCUGGACGUGGUCGUGCCUAUGCAAACGUAGUUCAUGUUCCUAAUGUGACGCCUCAGGAACAUGCAAAUUAUGUGAUCACGGACAAAGAUCGUGAUGGAGUGACUGGUUUAAAUGAGCUUGAGUGGCAGAACCUGAAGAAGCUUUUAAAUGGUGGUGCAAGCACAAGUCAUGAAAAGCUUUCUGGUAAGUGUUUUUCUCCUUCUUGGAUAUUAGAUACAGGAGCUUCACAUCAUCUAACAAGUAAUUACAAAACUCUUACCAAUGUAAGAGAAAUGGAACCUGUAUUGGUGAUUUUAGCGGAUGGUCGUGAACGCAUAUCAUGUCAAGAGGGGACUGUUGUAUUGGGUAGCAAUCUGGUCUUGAAAUCAGUGUUUUUUGUGGAAGAGUUGCAAAGUGAUCUUAUUUCAGUGGGGCAGUUAUUGGAUGAGAAUAAUUGUAUUGUACAAUUAGCUGAUCAGUUCCUUGUGAUUCAGGACCGCGCUUCGCGGACGAUGAUUGGAGCUGGUAAACGAGACAAUGGAACCUACCGUUUUUGCAGAAUGGAGUCGGUAGCGUUAGUCACAACAAAGGAGAUGAAGGCUUAUGAGUUGUGGCAUAAUAGGCUUGGACAUCCAUCUGCGAGAGUAGUUGGUUCACUUCCGCAAGUGUCUGUUUCUGUUGAUUCUGAUUCUUUCAAUAAAGCGUGUGAUGUAUGUUUCCGCGCUAAGAAAACAAGAUCGUGUUUUCCUACUAGUGAUAAUAAAACAACAUCCGUUUUUGAGCUUAUACAUUGCGAUCUUUGGGGUCCGUAUCGAACUCCGUCUUCUUCUGGUGCUCGUUAUUUUCUAACGGUCGUUGAUGAUUUCUCCCGUAGUGUAUGGAUUACUCUUCAACAUGACAAAACUGAGACAUCAUCUAAUCUAAAAAAUCUGAUUGCAAUGGCUGAGAGACAAUUUUCGAAGAAAGUUAAACGCAUCAGAAGUGAUAAUGGGACUGAGUUCACAUGUUUGGGAGCAUUCUUUCGCAGUCAGGGAAUUAUUCAUGAGACAUCUUGUGUAGCAACACCACAACAGAACGCCCGUGUUGAGAGAAAGCAUCGACAUAUUCUCAACGUAGCUCGCGCUUUACGGUUUCAGUCGCAUUUGCCUAUAACCUUCUGGGGAGAAUGUAUUCUCACAGCUGGAUAUUUGAUCAACCGUACUCCGAAUUCAGUGCUUAAUGGGGUCACGCCAUAUGAGAAGUUACAUGGUACUGCUCCAAGUUUUGAUCAUUUAAAGGUGUUUGGGAGUCUUUGUUAUGCGUACAAUCAAACGCAUAAUGGAGAUAAAUUUGAGUCUCGGAGUCGUAAGUGCAUUUUUGUGGGAUAUCCAUACGGGAAGAAGGCAUGGCGACUCUAUGAUCUUGAUACAAAUGUUUUUUUUUGUAUCCAGGGAUGUUCGAUUUUGUGAAACAGAGUUUCCUUAUGAUGAUGCUGCAAUUGAUCGUGGUUCAGUCGAUCCCAACAGAGAAGAAGGAGAGGCAUUAUGGGCUCCUUUCUCCUCUAGCCCAGCUGAAGAUGUUGAUAUACGGCCUUUAUCAUCUCCUACUUCUUCUCUCGGCCCAACACAGAUAGAAAGCCCAUUAACAUCGUCCUCCUCUGCUCUCAAUCCAGUGCUCGACGAUCCUCUUCCGUCUCCCUCACCUUCGAUUACUCCACCUACAUCACCGGUUUCUGCUCCGGUGGUCUCACCUGUCACCUCUCCAUCUUCGUCAGAUGCUGAGGACGAGAACGACCAACUACCAGAGGCGGUUCCUCUUCGCCGUGGUAAUCGACCUCGACAGCCACCAAUCAAAUUCCGUGACUAUCAAACUAAUACAGCUCAGAUAAGGAUGUUGGGUACGUCAAAAUCUUUGUAUCCAAUUCAAAAUUAUGUGAGUUGUGCACGUUUUUCAUCCACUCAUCGUGCCUAUUUGGUGGCCAUUACGGAUGUCUUUGAGCCAAAGACAUAUAAUCAAGCAGUUAAGAGCAAAGUUUGGACAACUGCUAUGGAUUCUGAGGUUCGUGCUUUGGAGGAAAAUCAGACAUGGACGCUUGAGGAUCUCCCUCCUGGCAAGAAAGCAAUAGGAUCGAAAUGGGUUUACAAAGUAAAACACAAUGCAGAUGGGACUGUUGAACGCUACAAAGCGCGUUUGGUAGCUCUUGGUAAUAAACAAAUCGAAGGAGUUGAUUAUGGAGACACGUUUGCACCGGUAGCUCGGAUGCAAACUGUGCGUAUGUUUCUUGAAGUUGCUGCGGGUAACGCUUGGCCAGUCCAUCAGAUGGAUGUCCACAAUGCGUUCCUACACGGGGAUCUCUCUGAGGAGGUCUACAUGAAGCCUCCCCCAGGUUAUUUUACUAAUGGUGAAAAGCUGGUUUGUCGACUUCGGAAGUCUCUCUAUGGUCUUAAACAAGCACCUCGUUGUUGGUUUGAAAAGUUGACAACUGCUCUUCGUGACUAUGGCUUUCUUCAGUCUCUUUCGGAUUACUCCCUCUUUGUUUUUGACAAAGGAGGGAUACGGAUUAACAUAUUGAUCUAUGUUGACGAUAUGAUUUUGUCUAGUAACUCGACUGAGGCGCUUUCUGGUUUCAAAAGCUAUUUGGCGUCGUGUUUUAAAAUGAAAGAUUUAGGCGCUCUUAAGUAUUUUUUGGGCAUCGAAGUCUCGAGAAGUUCACAAGGUUUCUAUUUAAGUCAGCGGAAAUAUGCUCUUGAAAUAGUUGCUGAUGCUGGAUUGCUAGGUUGCAAACCAGACGCCUUUCCUCUAGAACAGCACAACAAGCUUGCGUUGUCUACUUCUUCUCUCUUACCCGAACCGGAGCAGUAUCGUCGUCUGCUAGGUCGUCUCCUAUACUUAGCUGCUACACGGCCGGAUCUCACUUUCAGUGUUCAGUUUCUCGCUCAAUUUAUGAAAGAACCACGCGAGGAUCACUGGGAAGCUGCGCUUCGUGUUGUUCGCUACAUAAAGGGAAAUCCAGGCCAAGGUAUUUUGUUGAGCGCUAAGAGAGAUUUUCAGAUUACAGGCUGGUGUGACUCUGAUUAUUCGACUUGUCCCCUUACAAGAAGGUCAGUUUCUGGUUAUUUUGUUCAAGUGGGCACAUCACCAAUAUCAUGGAAGACGAAGAAACAGAAAACGGUUAGUAUGUCCUCUGCUGAAGCUGAAUAUCGUGCUAUGGCUUUUAUCACAAAGGAACUCAUUUGGCUAAAGAGAGUUCUGUCUGAUCUUGGUGAAACUCACUCUCAACCAAUGCGUCUCUAUUGUGAUAGCAAGUCUGCAAUUCACAUUGCCACGAACCCGGUCUUUCAUGAACGUACGAAGCAUAUCGAGAAUGACUGUCACUUUGUACGUGAUGAGAUCAAAUCUGGUAAUCUUCAUCUACUUCAUGUUCAAAGCAACUCUCAACUAGCGGAUAUUUUCACAAAGCCACUUGGUCGUCAUAGCUUUGAAGAUUUUUGCUCCAAACUGGGCAUUUUGAAUCUCCAUGCUCCAGUUUGAGGGGGGGUAUUGGGAUAUUAUUUAUCAUAGUAAAUCAUAUCCCACAAUUAUCGUACAUAGACUUAUUUGUUACCUAUUCUGCAAUGUAAAUUAUCUGCAUAUCUUUACUCUUUAGACUAGGUCAUCAAGUCCUUGUAAUAUAUAAGUAUGUAAUGGCCUCUCAAUGAAAUACGCAGAACACAUUCAUUCUCUGUCUGUUUAAUAAUACUUGCCGCCUUCCCGGAGCACCCAUGUCAGUAUGUGCUGGCCUCAGUGGCUGCAAAAUCGUUGAUGGGUCAUGUCCUAACGGAUAUCCUAACGAGAAUCUUGAAAACACAGGUAAAAAAAAAACAAUAUUAUGCUUUAGUAUGUACGUUGUGUGUCUAGCUUAUUGUCUUAAAAGAUAAAUCAAGAUUUAAUUGUUUCUUUUGUGUUUUGUCUCAAGGUGAUGUUGUUAGUGAAUACUGCAAGGUUGGAUGUGUAUCCUCUGUGUGCGGUGCUUUAUCCACUCUCCAGAACUCUGGUAAAACAACUCUCGAAACUCUUUUAUCAUUACUAUCAUUUGUUUUAAAAAUAAUAAACAAGAGAACAUAUAUAUGAUACAUUUCAAAUUUUGUUUCGAUAACUAGAUGCAAGUGAAAUCGUGAAUGAAGCUGCUGGAAACUGCGCCUUGGCGUGUUCUAAAGUCUGCACCAAGGGUUCGAUGAAUGCAGUUGGAACCGCCUAGACAACCUUAUUCACAAAGAUACGAAGUACAUCAUCUAUGGAGUGUUGUUUUUUCAUGUUUUCAUCAAUAAUUGUCAGUGUAUGUGACAAAAAUAUAGAAGGUUAUCGAUCCUUAGAUUGCAUAUGCCUUCUAUUACCUAUCUUUUCAAUAAUAUGUAAUUGUGUCGUGAUAUUUUUCGUUCAACCAAUAAAGUUGCUUUUUGCUUAGCUAUAUUACAUAGUAUCAACCAUUUUACCAAACUAUUUGAUUAAUAUCACAUAAAACUAAAUUUAAAAGACGUGACUGAAAAAACAUGUAAAAUUUCAAAAAUGAUGCUUUCGAUGUUGGUCAUAUAGCUUACGGUUUUGUGUGGAUCAGAUUUAUUGUUUUGUAUUAAAGGAGAUAAUAUAUUUGUGAGUUCGUUUCAAUUACUGAGCCUAAUUGUUUGUUUUGUCGAAGCGUUAGCUAUUGUUUUCCCUAAGCUUGAUUAGUUUUUGUAAGAUCAUAUAAAGCAAUGCGUACAUAAUUACUUUAGUUGUUUUUAUAAUGCUACAUAGACAACAAUUUAUGAGGCUAAAAACACAAAUUCAUUAUAAUCUACCUUCAAUUUUGAUGUUUUUUUUUUGGCACUAUAAAGUGUGUUAUCAGUCAUCUUCGAAUUUAGCUCGUUCUUGACUAUAUUUUCCUCGAUCAUUAUCUUCAGAAUAGUCACUUUGCUUAGAGAUUUUUGAUACUAUGUCAAUCUUUGAACUUUUUUUCUUGGUAAUGAUACUGUUCCAAUACAAUACAAACUAAAUGUGAGAAGGAAAAUAAAAUAAGCAUAAAAUUGUCAAGCAGUUAGUUUAAAGCUUAUGUAAUUAGCACUUUCAUCAUCUCAAUGAUCUUCAUGUUAUUGAUAAUCACAUGCAGAAAUUUGUUUAGAAUUGUUAGCACACCACUCAAAUUAUUAGGCAACAAGCAUUUAUUUGGUUCCAACGUAUAUUAUUUAAAUCUCCAAUACAAAACAAAAAGAGCUGCUGCGGUCUUCUUCUUUUUGGUCGGAAAGUGAGACCACAACAAGGGGAUCUUGGAUGUGGAAAAAGUUGCUCAAUUAUAGAACGCAUGCUAAAGCGUUUCACAAAAUGGUAGUUGGAGAUGGUGCUCACACUUCUUUCUGGUAUGAUCACUGGUCUUCUCUGGGCUGUUUCCAUGAUUUGCUUGGGGAUAGAGGAUUUAUUGCUCUCGGUAUUCCUUCCAACGCCACAGUUGCUAUGGUUUUACAAACUCAUACUCGGCGCUCUCACCGAACCGCCUUGUUGAAUCAGAUUGAGCUGGAAGUCGCAAUGCUCCGGGAUCGUGGCCAAGUUUAUUGUCAAGACAAUGCUUUAUGGCGAGCUUCGGAUAACAAGUAUGUGCCUUGGUUCUCCACUGCUGAGACCUGGCAGCAGAUUCGGCGUGUGGGUUUACAAGUGAGUUGGUACAGGGGCAUUUGGUUCUCCAACUCUAUACCGAAAUGUUCUUUCAUCCUUUGGUUAACAGCUCGCAAUAGGCUCACCACCGGGGAUCGCAUGCAGGCUUGGAACAGAGGUGUUAACCCUGCUUGUGUGCUCUGUCGGAAACCUUUGGAGACACUUCCGCAUCUAUUCUUUGGUUGCCCCUACUCUUCACGGAUAUAGCAUGCUCUAACUCACAAAUUGUUGAUGCGGCACUAUUCUAUUUCAUAUACACAAGUCAUCCAUCUGCUCUCGGGUUCUUGUUUUCAAGGUACUACCCGCUACCUCUUGCGUCUUGUCUUCCAAGCAACGGUCCACACACUUUGGAUGGAGCGCAACAGACGUCGACAUGGCGACACACCAAGCACCACUGAUCAGCUCACCCGUUUCUUAGACCGUUUGAUACGUAAUAAACUCCUUUCAAUGCAAGCAACCACAACAAAGUUUGGUGAUGGACUUCAGCUUUGGGUAGCGGGUAGCUAAUCCCCUCCAAAAAUUUCAAAACUUUUAAUGUUUUUUAAAUUAAGUUUUUGAUUUAAGGAUGCAUUUAUUGUAAAAAGGACACUUUUUUGUUUUGAAUAUAUUUUCACAUUCAUGCAAAAAAAAAAAAAACAAAAAGAAACACAAAACACGUUUGUAACAAACUAUUUGGAUUUUUGUGCCAUCAGCUAGACAGUAACUAGAAGAGAUUUGAUUAUUAACUUAUAACCACAAGAGUCAAUAGAGUUGGUUAAAAAAUAAAUUAAGAAACACAAACACACGUUGUAACAAACUACUCAUACAUUUUCUUAAUUCUUAAUUCAAAAUAUUUCCACGAGAAGUGCUACAAACUUAAUAGACAUAUAUAACACUUAUAAUAUAAAUUCAAACGAAAAUAAUAGUGAAUCCCUAUUAAGUAUCCUAAUUAAUUUAAAGCGUUAAUCAAAAGAAAGUAAAAAUGAACAAGAAGAUUUCAUCAAUCCAUCAAGAUAAGGUUUGGUCCACGUCGCAUGUACAGACAGAGUCUAUAGAGAAAAUGUGAUAAACGUAUCAUAUGAAUUCUGUGGUUGCUAAUCAUAGACCAACUAGUAUUUAAGCUUAUAACUCCCCACAUAUACAUUUUGCAUUCAAACAACUGAUCAAUCGAAAGAUGGAAGGCAAAACUGUGAUUUUAAGUGUGCUCAUAGUGAGUCUUGUCAUGGCACAGAUUCAAGUUGAAGGAAAGAGUUGUUGCCCUAACACGAGUGCUAGAAGCUGCUACAAUUUAUGCAUUAUUGCUGAAGCAGGUAGGCAAAUUUCUUGUUAAAUUUAAUUAGUGCCCCAUAUAACUUUUAAAUUUAACCAGUGCCCCAUAUAUAUUUUUAGUCCUAAAUCCACCCUCCAUCUGUACACAAAUCUGUGGAUGCAAAUUUGUAUCGGGAAAAUGUCCUCCAGGAUAUCCACAUGACAUUCUCGAAAACUCUGGUAAUUUAAUUGCAUCUUUUAUUUCUUUGUUAUUUCAUUAUGUUAUAUGUUUUACAAGUUGGACCAAGAUUUUGAUGCAACUUCUAAGAAUUGUUUUAUUAUUUUUUAUUUAAGGUGAUGCUGUCAAUGAAUACUGCAAAUUAGGUUGUGCAUCCUCUGUGUGUGGUGCCUUAACCACUCUCCAGAACUCCGGUAACACAAAAACUCAUUAUUAAUUAUCAAUAUUAUGAUUAGAUUUUUAGAAAAGGAGAAAAACGUAUUAACUAAAAAUAUUGUUUCGAUGAAUUAGAUGCAAGUGAAAUUGUGAAUGGAGCAGCUGUACAAUGCACCAAGGCAUGUUCUGAGUUCUGUACCAAGGGCUCAUCCAAUGCAAUUGAAACUGCUUAAGAAGCAUAUAUCCACGAUCUAUGUUUUCAAUAAUUGUCGUUGUAUAUGACAAAAAAAUGCUAGAAUCUUGAGUAAGCUUCUACUAUUUCCAAGUUUUCUAUGUGACAUAGAAAAAAGUCAUUGAUCCCUAGAUUGUGUACCCCUUCUACUUGCUAUUGUUUAAUAUAAAGAAUAAUAAUUAUGUCUUUAUCGACUAUAAUUAAAACAAACUCUCGCUUUAGCUUAAUUUUCUAACAAUCACUUCAUAUCUUAAAAACAUCAAAUGCCAACUUAGCAAAACUGUCAAGACUUACAAAUCUCGAAUUAAAGAUAUAUAUAAGCAUACGACACCUUGAAUGAACCAUUAAGAAUGCAAUCGAUAGGUUGAAGUAAUGAAAAACUUUAUAGUAUAUCAUUUUGUCAUCAUGAUUACUAGAGUAAUAACUAAUAACCCAAUAGAUUUUGACAACAAGGGAACUGUGAAAUUAUUGUUUUUGAACUUGAAAAUAAAAAUGUAAAGUAAACAGAUAAUUGAACUUAUAAAUUAAAACAUUGGGUAGCAGGGUAUUUCAACGAAUCAAUGACUAACAAAUAAAAACAAUAAAGGAAGGCAAAAAUUCAGGCAAGACGACAUGUUCUUAAACAUGAACAUAAAUUCAGAUUAAUUCUCUGUUAAGACAUUAGUCAUUAAAUUCAACUAUUUAAUUACUAAACUCUCAUUUAUAAUUUUCUAGUCAAAUUCUCUUCAUCAAACAAGUUUAUUUGGUUCACAAGACAUUCUAAAAUUAACUCUCGCAGGUUAGAAUUACAAUGCUCAAUUAACAUUCAUUCAAGCAUUUCAUCGAACAUCUCUAAACCAUAUAAAAGCCAACCAUGUUUAUCGUCGGAUAUGGUUGUCAGAAACGGCUAUGUUUUUCUAUAGAGCAACUGAGAUCAUGAACGUAUAAAACAUCAGUAAAAGUGAUAAGAUUUGAAAUUGUUAACUCCCAAGACGGAAUUUCCGUGAGAUUUACUAACAAUGAAAUAUUCUUUGACAUAUUAUGAUAUGAUAAAAGCUCUAACAUAGUUUCGAACACAUUGACAUGUAAGCUCUUGUCGUAAACGAAAGUCAAAAUAUAAACUUAUUUUUUUGGUAAUACAAAUAUAUUGUUCCAUACAAUACAAACUAAAAGUGACAUGGAAAAUAAAGUGGUUAGUUUAAAGCUUAUGUAAUUAGCACUUUGAUCAUCUCAAUGAUCUUGAUCAUGUGAUCAUGUGAUUGGUAAUCACAUGCAGAAAUUUGUUUCAAAUUUCUAGCACACCACUCAAAUUAUUAGGCAACAACCAUUUAUUUGGUCCCAACAUAUGUUAUUCAAAUCUCCAAUACAAAACAAAAGAGAACAAAAGGAAACACAAAACACGCUGGUAACAAACUAUUUGGAUUUUUGUAUCAUAUUUUAAUUUGCCAUCAGUCUAGACAAUAACUAGAAGAGUUUUGGCUAUAACUUAUAAACCACAAGAGUUAAGAAUUGGUUAAAAAAAUAAAUUAAGUACCACAAAACACGUUGUAACAAACUACUAUGUUCUUAUCUUUCCCUCUUCAAACUAAUCAUACUCUUCUUAAUUUUUAAUUCUUAAUUCAAUAUAUUUACACGAGAAGUGCUACGAACUUAAUAGACAUAUAUAACACUUAUAAUAUAAAUUCAAACGCAAAUAAUAGUGAAUCCCCUAUUAAUUAUCCUAAUUAAUUUAAAGCGUUAAUCAAAAGAAAGUAAAAAUGAACAAGAAGAUUUCAUCAAUCCAUCAAGAUAAGGUUUGGUCCACGUCGCAUGUACAGACAGAGUCUAUAGAGAAAAUGUGAUAAACAUAUCAUAUGAAGUGUGUGGUUGCUAAUCACAGACCAACUUGUAUUUAACCGAGCCUUGUUUCAUCAGUACCAUUUCAUCAAUACAACCUUAUAUAACUCCCCACAUAUACAUUUUGCAUUUAAACAACUGAUCAACAGAAAGAUGGAAGGCAAAACUAUGAUUUUAGGUUUGCUCAUAGUGAGUCUUGUCAUGGCACAGAUACAAGUCGAAGCAAAGAGUUGUUGUCCGAACACGACUGCUAGAAAUUGUUACAAUGUAUGCCGUUUACCUGGAACUCCUAGGCCAACUUGUGCAAGCCUCUGCGGAUGCAAAAUUGUCGAGGGGCCAACAUGUCCUCCAGGACCACGUGACAUUCUCGAAAACUCUGGUAGUUUAGUUUAAUUUUUAUUUCUUUGUUCUUUCAUUAUGUUAUAUCUUUUACAGGUUGGACCAAGAUUUUGAUGCAUGUGUUCAAAAACUGUUUUAUGUUUUUGUAUUUAAGGUGAUGCUUUUAACGAAUACUGCAAGUUGGGUUGUGCAUCAUCUGUGUGUGGUGCCUUAACCACUCUCCAGAAUUCCGGUAAUGCAAAAACUUAUUAAUAUUACUAUUAAAUUUAUAGAAAAAGAGAAAAACAUAUUAAUUCUAAUAUUGUGUGUGGGUGAUUUAGAUGCAAAUGAAGUUGUGAAUGGAGCAGCUGUACAAUGCACCAAGGCAUGUUCUGAGUUAUGUACCAAGGGCUCAUCCAAUGCAGUUGAAACUGUAUAAGAAGCACAUCCAUGAUCUAUGUGUUGUUGUUUUCCCAGUUUUCAAUAAUUUUCGUGUAAGUGACCAAAAAAUGCUAGACACUUGAGCUAGCCUUCUAAAUAAAGAAUAAUAAUGUGACCUUACAUAUAAUAAAAACAAACUCUCACUUUAACUUUAUUUUCUUACAAUCACUUCAUAUCUUGACAAGAUAAAAUGACAACUUAGCAAAACUGUCAAGACAUACAAAUCUCAAAUUAUAUACCUACUAGAAAGUUGCCCACGCGAUGCGUGGGUUAUACAUGAAAUGUUAAUUAAAAAUUAUAUUAAGUUAUAUGUAGUGUAUAAGUGUUAAUAUAUGUUUUGAAAAUAAUUUUAAAACAAAAUAAUAUGUUUAUAUUCAUUAUGUGUAUUACAAAAUAAUAUUAAUUUUUAUGUUUAAAACAAAAUAAUUAACGCACAAACAAAAUUGAACGCGAUUGCAAAAUUAGUAUAAAACAUAUUUUGUGUACAUUGUAAACAUUAAAAAUAAACGAAAAGUAUAUUUGGAAAAUAUAGAACUGAAUGAGAUCUAAACAAAGUAAUACAAAAUUAGCACAUACAAAAUUAUGAGCAUUUGUUACUCACCUUAUAUUUUAUCAUAACCUAAAAGUAACUUAAAUUUUAAAAAUGAUCAAGUUAAACUUUUCAAAAUAUCAAAUUAAAAGAUUUCAUUUGAAACAUAUGAUAUAUUGUUUUCAACUUUAUUUAGAAAAUAUUUUUCAAUUUAGAUUAUAAAAGCAUUUAAACUAUAGUUAUGUAAAAACUAAAAAGAGAGAUCAUAAGCCAAAUAAACAGAAGAAGAUUACAUGAGAAGAAGAACUUUGAUAUUUUUAUAUUCUAUUUGAUUGUAAAUGAAGCUGACAUAGGAGGUAGAUGAGAAUAUAUAUAUAUAUAUAUAUAUAUAUAUAUAUAUAGACUUUUUAAUGUAGCAUUAGUUUAGUUUUAAAAUUACUACUAAAUUUUUUUAAAACAAAUAUGCAUGAAGAUUUACAUUACUAUAAAAGCUAAAUAAAUGAAUCCAAACUAAAAUAGCAUAACAUGUUUACAUCAAAAUUAACAGAGAAGAUGAACAACGACAUAUAUGUACAUGAUGGCGAAUUUUUAGGUUUUUGCCCUUUUCAUUUGAUAAAAAUAAAAUUUUAACUCUGCUUACUAUUAUUAUUUUAUUUAUAAAUAUAAAUUACGAAAUAGAAAGAANNNNNNNNNNNNNNNNNNNNNNNNNNNNNNNNNNNNNNNNNNNNNNNNNNNNNNNNNNNNNNNNNNNNNNNNNNNNNNNNNNNNNNNNNNNNNNNNNNNNGUUACUAAGAGUGUAGAGUGGGGUAUGAUAUUAUUGUGUAAUUAAUACGUUAAUAAUUAUCAUAAUUGUCAUAAUUAAUAUGUUAUUACUUAUCAUAAUUUAAUUAAUGAAUUAAAUUAAAUAUAACUUUCAUAAAAUGUAUGAUCUUUAAAAGAAAAAAUUUAGGUACCAAUUUUUUUGUAAGCAAGUAUAUAUAUUUUUAACACUUUGACUGCAAAUUUUAAAUAAACUAAAUAUUAUAAUUUUUAUAUAAUAGUCUAUUUGAUCUCAAAAACUAAAUAUAAUGACAGAUAUAUUAAAAUGAAUUACAAAAAAUAUUUGAGAUUAAAAAAUAAGAAAACAUUAUUUGAUAAAUGUUUUAAAUCGAAUUUUUUAUUUAUAUAGCAAUCAAAACUGAUAUAUUACAUAUGUGUUGUAUCAAAUUUUCUUGAUUCAUAAAUAUGAAAAUAAAAGUAUAAUAUAAGUAUUUUCGUGAUUGUGCAAGCUAAUUCUAAUUUAUUGUGUGUUGAAUAAAAUUGAGUAGAAAAAUAUAGCUAAUGCAAAUUUAUAUUAUUUCAGUUUUUAUAUUAAAGUGUGAGUUAAGAAUUAUUUGAAUAAGAAAGAGGUAGUAAUAUAUUAUUUUGGAAAUUGUGUUACAAUAAAAUAUUUAAUUAGAUAUUUCAUAAUCAAAAAAGAAAAUGCAUAUAUAAAAAUGGAUCCUUAUAACUUAAUUCUCUUGUUGUACGAUGAUUGGAACUAAUAUAAGAUACUAUGUUAGAUUUGUAUCAUACUUUCUAAAGAUAUUUAUAUCAAAUUCUUAAAAUGAUUAUUUCAUUGAUUUUUUAUGUCACAUAAGAACAUAAAAAUAGAAAAAAAAAAUAAAGAUACAUGAAUAUAAUGGAAGAGAGGGAGUGAAUGUAUUUAUAUGUUGAUAAUCAAAAAUAGAAAAUAGAGAUGAAUUUUCAAGAAAAAAAAAAGAUAAAUUAUAAUAAUGUAAGAUGUAUAUCAAUAUAUCAUAUAGUCUCUAAAAUUUUCUACAGUUGAAAUUUUAUAAUAAUAUUUUUUUAAAAAAACUCAUACAACAAAAAUAAACAAAGCAAAAAAAUUUCAUAAAGAAGCGAAGGAGAGAAUGAGAGAAUGAUAUAAUGAGACAAUGAGAGAAUGAUAUAAUGAGAAAAUGAGUAUAUAUAGGAAGAUAAGUGAUGGGAGUUACAAUUUCAUAAAAAAAUUAUGGGAGUCAAUUAUAAUUGAUUGUGUAUUGAAAAAAUUGAAUGUAAAAUAUAGUUAAUGCAAAUUUAUGUUAUUUCAGUUUUUAUAUUAAAGUGUGAGUUUAAUAUAUAUGAUUAAAUGUGUUUUGUGGUUUCUUUGUUUUUUUCAGUUUUAUAUUAAAGUGUGAAUCAAAUAUAUAAUAUUUUUAAAAGUUACAUGCCAAGUGGACCAAUAAGAAGAUGGUAAAAUCUUAUAUAUAUAUAUAUAUGAUUUGUGAAUAAUAUGAUAGUUAUUCUUUGAUUUAAAUUCAUUAUAUUAUUUUCUCAACUGUUUGAUAAUAGAAAAUUAAAUAAAUUUUGCUUGAUAAUCUCUUUAAUUCUUCUCUUAUAAAUUAAAUUUUAAAAAUUAGAAAUUAUGUUAUAAAUAAUUUAUUACCCAUAUUAAUAACUUUAAAAAUGUAUCUUUAAAGGAGUAGGAAAAAAAAGUUUAAAAAUGUAUCUUUAAAGGAGUAGGAAAAAAAAGUCAUAGCAAUUUUCUUUGAAUAAAAAAUUAUAACAAUUCCAUUUUAUGUUUAGCUUAUAUGAUAUUUAAUUUAAUUAGAAACUAAAAUUAGGAAAAACAUAUUUUUGCAACCAUGACACUUUUUAAAAAGCAAAGCAUACAUAUAACAUAUAACUUACAACACAAUAUCAUAAAAAAAAAUUUUAAAUGUUAGAUUAUAAAUUAAUAAAAAUGACACAUGUCAGAAGCAUAGAGCGACACAUGUCGCGUUGUGAGGCAAAGUUAAGAAGAAACCUUGUCUUAUUAUAUAAGAUUAUAAGCAUAUGACACCUUGUAUGAACCAUUCAGAAUGCAAUCGAUAGGUUGAAGUAAUGCAAUACUUUAUAGUCUAUCAUUUUGUCAUGGAUGAUUGCUAGCGUAAUAACUCAAUAGAUUUUAACCACAAGGAAACGGUGAAAUUCUUGGUAGUAUAAUUAUGGGCCAAAUCCACAAAGGACCGAAUGAUUACACCAAAUACUUAUAAGAGUUAGCAACUUAGCAAAGAUAAAAGUGAAUACAACUAGAUUUUCACCCACGAUAUACCGCGGGACGAUAUUUUAAAACGUUUUUUUAUUAAGUUUGUACUACAGGCUCGCAAAAAAAAAUUGUACUACUAUAUUUGAUUGUUAAUUCUAAGAUUUAACGCGUGGAAUAUUGCAUGAUAAUUUGGUUUUUAUAUAAUGGUAAUUUGAUUAAAUUAAAUAAGUAAGUCUAAUAUUCAAAAUAAUAAAAUGAUGUUGGCAUAACAUCUUUCGUUUAAAUAGUCAAAUUUCAGAUUAAAAUAUUUUAUGAGUUUUACUAUAGUAGAAAACCGUAAAAAAUCUAUAAUCAUAGUUAUGUAAACUAUAACCCGCUCCAUAACAUGUCCCGUGCUAGAAAAUUAUCAAUAAUACUUUAGUACAUACAUUUUUGUAUCGUUUGAGUAAUAUACGUCCUUUUUCAAAAAUUUAAACUGCAACAUAUGCAAAAUAAAAAACAGAUCAAAAUUACAAUAGUUGAAGCUAGUUACAGCAGAGAAUACAUGAGAGACAAAUUUCAAAAACCUAAUGUGGCUUUUCAAAAUUGUUGAAAUACAUUUUUGCAAAACUCAUUGACACACUGAACAAUCCGAAAUUAGCUUGUCAUACGAUGAAACAGUUUCAUUGUUGUAUUUUCUUACAAAAUGAAACAGUUUCGUUGUUGUAUUUUCGUAAAACAAUGAAACUGUUUCAUUUUGCUAUUACAAAACCCACUCAACAAUCCGAAAUUGGCGUAUUAUUACGAUGGGAAGCUCUAGUAUCCGAGAAUAUAAUUCUCUUGAAUAAAGUAAACUAAAAAGAUAAGUUUAGUUUUCUUGCAUAAUAUAGUCAUCGAACACGUUUACAUGUAAAAAUUGUCAAGUGGUUUUGACUUUAUAGCUUUUUUUGUAAACUCAUCAGAUCUCAACCAUCUCAUGUUAUUGGUAACUCUUUUAAUUCAAAUGAUUUAGCAUACCACUCAAAUUAGUAUUUAUUUGGUCCCGACGUAUGAUUCAAAUAUCCAAUAGUACAAAACAAAAAGUUGAUUAUAAGCCAAAAAGAAACACCAAACACGUUGUAACAAACUAUUUGGAUUUAUCUCAUAUUUUUAAUCAGCCAUCAAUCAUCUAGUCGACAUAACUAGAAGAGAUUUGAUAGAAGCUCGUACAACCACAAAACCGUUGGUUAUUCAAAAUAUUUUGUACUCUUUCUUUAUUCAUAACUCAAAAUAUUUACACGAGAACUGAUACGAAGUUUAUAGACAUAAUACUUAUACUAUAAACUCUCAUAUAUACGUAUAUAGUUAUAAACCAAAUUAAUAUAAUUAAGAUGGUACAUAAUAAUAACACGAUUAGUAAGAACAUACAGAAUAUAACCAGCAAAACUCGUAAAUAAUUAAUAGUGAAUCCCUAUUAAGCAACACAGGUUAAGCUUUAACCGAAUCAGAAGAAUGAAAAAAAAAAAAAGAAUAAAAAGAAGAUUUCAACUAUCCCAUUAAGAUAAGGUUGGUCCAUGCAGCUUGUAUAGUCAGUCUAUCGAGCGAACAUGUGAUACCCAUCAUAGACAACCUAGUAUUUAAGGAACCCUUGUUUCAUCACAAAUUCAUCAAUUCAAGCUUAUAUACAUUUUGCAAUCAAACAACUGAUCAAUCGAAAGAUGGAAGGCAAAACUUUGAUUCUAAGUGUUCUCCUAAUGAGCCUUCUCAUGGCACAAAUCCAAGUUGACGCCAAGAGCUGUUGUCCGACCACCACUGCUAGAAAUGUCUAUAAUACUUGCCGUUUAGCCGGAUUAUCCAGAGCAGUAUGUGCAAACCGCAGUGGCUGCAGACUCGUUAAUGGGUCAUGUCCCAACGGAUAUCCUAAAGAGAAUCUUGAAAACACAGGUAAAUCAAAACAUAAUGUGUUUUAUUACGUACGUUGUUUGUCUUACAGGAAAAAUCAAGAUUAAUGGUUUCUUAUAUGUUUUGUCUCAAGGUGAUGCUGUCACUGAAUACUGCAAGGUUGGGUGUGUAUCUUCUGUGUGCGGUGCUUUAGCCACUCUCCAAAACUCUGGUAAAGCUAACUCUCAAAACUCCUUAUCAUUACUAUCAAUUUUCUUAAAAAAUAAUAAACAAGAGAACAUAUAUAUGAUACAUUUCAAAUUUUAUUUCGAUAAAUAGAUGCAAGUGAAAUUGUGAAUGAAGCUGCUGGUAACUGUGCCUUGGCAUGUUCUAAAGUCUGCAACAAAGGUUCGAUGAAUGCAGUUGGAACCGCCUAGACAACCUUAUUCACAAAGAUACGAAGUACAUCAUCUAUGGAGUGUUGUUUUUCAUGUUUUUCAUCAAUAAUUGUGACAAAAGUGUAGAAGAUUAUCGAUCAUAUGCUUUCUAUUCCCUAUCUUUUCAAUAAUAUGUAAUUGUGUCAU
RNAcentral lists this long non-coding RNA (50413 nucleotides) under Capsella rubella. RNAcentral's name for it is "long non-coding RNA (CRUB_LNC001790)". The record is from RNAcentral. Lineage: Eukaryota; Viridiplantae; Streptophyta; Magnoliopsida; Brassicales; Brassicaceae.